This 44666-nucleotide long non-coding RNA is filed under the name Cucumis sativus (cucumber). Its description in RNAcentral is "long non-coding RNA (CSAT_LNC003114)". Lineage: Eukaryota; Viridiplantae; Streptophyta; Magnoliopsida; Cucurbitales; Cucurbitaceae. The record is from RNAcentral.
CCCCGCUUCCUUCAAUUUUCCCUUCUCCUUUCCUUCUCUUUUCUCUUUUCCUUCCGCCGUUCCCUUCCGUCUUUCUUUCCGCUGCAGCCCAGCCGCCCCAUCCUUCCCCUUCUCUCCGUUUGCGAAGCAAAACCGCCACCGACCGACCUCCAUUCCUCUUCUCCUUCCCGUUCGCAGCCCCGCUGCAAACCGUCGCCUCCCUUCCCUUCCAUUUUCUUUUUCCAUCCGCAGCCCUGCCGCAAACCGCCGCGUCUCCCCUUUUGAAGCCGAGCGCCGCGACCCUUCUCCUCUUCUCUUCAGUUCGCAAAGUAGCCGUACGCGUCCAGAUCUGCCGCCGUCCAGAUCUGCACCACAAGAAAACGAGUCUGGGCAUCACGUUCGGCUUUUGUGGGCAAGAAACUUCGAGAUCACUCAUAAUCGGAUCGCCCAGUGGUUAGAUGUGAGCUUUCGAGGCCUCCAACCCCAUUCUGAGUCCGAUCGUUCCUUUCUAGGCCAUUGAGCCUUUUUUCGGCGUUUUGGGACGAAACGAAGAAACCGAGUCUAGGGCAUCACCGUUUGGCUUUUGUGGUCAAGCAACUUGAAGAUUACACAGAAUCAGACCGCUCAAUGGUUAGAUGUGAACUUUCAAGGCCUCCGACCCCAUUCUAAGUUCGGUCGUUCCUUUCUAGGUCAUUGUGCCUUACUUCGGCGUUUUGGGUCUGAACCAAGAAACCGAGUCCGGGCAUCACCAUUCGGCUUUUGUGGGCAAGAAACUUUGAGAUCACUCAUAAUCGGACCGCCAAGUAGUUAGAUGUGAACUUUCGAGGCCUCCGACCUCGUUCUGAGUCCAAUCGUUCCUUUCUAGGCCAUUGUGCCUUUCUUCGGCAUUUUGGGACGGAACCAAGAAAUCGAGUCUCGGCAUCACCGUUCGGCUUUUGUGGGCAAAAAACUUUGAGAUCAUUCAGAAUCGGACCUUCAAGUGGUUAGAUGUGAACUUUCGAGGCCUCCGACCCAAUUCUGAGUCUGAUCGUUCCUUUCUAGGCUAUUGUGCCUUUCUUCGGCGUUUUGGGACCGAACCAAGAAACCGAGUCUGUGGCAUCACCGUUCGGCUUUUGUGGGCAAAUAACAUCGAGAUCACUCAGACUCGGACCGCCCAGUGGUUAGAUGUGAAGUUUCGAGGCCUCCGACCCCAUUGUAGUCCGGUCGUUCCUUUCUAGCCGAUUGUGCAUUUCUUCGGUGUUUUGGGACGAAACCAAGAAACCGAGUCUGGGGCAUCACCGUUCGGCUUUUGUCGGAAAACUUCGAGAUCACUCAGAAUCGGACCGCCCAGUGGUUAGAUGUGAACUUUCGCAUCCUUCGACCCCGUUCUGAGUCCGGUCGUUCCUUUCUAGGCCAUUGUCCUUUCUUCGACGUUUUGGGAUGGAACGAAGAAACCGAGUCUAGGGCAUCACCGUUCGGCUUUUAUGGGCAAGAAACUUCGAGAUCACUCAGAAUCGGACUGCCCAGUGGUUAGAUAUGCACUUUCGGGUCUCCGACCCGUUCUUACUCCGGUCGUUCCUUUCUAGGUCGUUGUGCCUUUCUUCGGCGUUUUGGGACAGAAUCAAGAAACCGAGUCUGAGUUCGGUCGUUCCUUUCUAGGCGAUUGUACCUUUCUUCGGCGUUUUGGGACGGAACCAAGAAACCGAGUCUGAGUCCGGUCGUUCCUUUCUAGGCGAUUGUGCCUUUCUUCGGCGUUUUGGGACAGAACCAAGAAACCGAGUCUAGGGCAUCACCGAUCGGCUUUUGUGGGCAAGAAACUUUGAGAUCACUCAGAAUCGGACCACCCAGUAGCUAGACGUGAACUUUCGGGGCCUCCGUGUUGGAAUUUUUUCUCCUAAAACUCGUAGUUUGUAAAUCAUAUUCUGUUCAAUAAAGCUGUUAUUGAGAAAUUAAAUAUUAUAAUCUUAAAUCCAAUAAAUCAAGUUCCAAGGCUAUUUUUGAAUAAACUUGAACUUUAUGUGUAAACAUAAACGUGGAUCAAGUUCGAGUAUAUAGCCUAAAUAGUCUAUAGUAUAUGAAAUAAAGGUUGGGCGCCUUAUUUAGAGAAACUAUGGAUGCGGCCCACUUUGUAGUACAAAUGAGGUGAUCCUAAUAGUUCAUGUAGAGACAUCCUAUGUAAAAUGUUUACAUAAGACUGAACCAUGAAUUAGUCUUUUUUACGUUAUAACACCGUUUACUGUUUAAAACUAACUAUCUCAAUUGUUGAUGACCUAGGUAACUUAGUCUUAAUCCUGAGUUAACUAUGAACUCUUGUUCGCACGAGAUUAUCCUUAGAUCUGCAUAGGUGAGGGCAGCUCUUCAUCGUUGGCCCAAUAAGCCUCCCAUUUCAGGGGUAAGAUCGGGUGGAUAGCUGGGAACAUAUGGUACAAGAUGGAAUUCACUCCUACCCGCUUUAGGGUUAGUAGAUAGGUUGUUCUCUUAAGCACUGAAUCCAAGUCUUGAACAAGGGGCCCCACCCUCUCAUUGGCCCGAGAUGGAUUAAGUUUAUAGGUUGAAGCUUAAACCAAUUGUUCAAUAGUGGAUUAGUGGGACUUAAGGAGCAAGAUGUAAUCUUGGGGAUAAAACGGUAUUUUGACCCAGCCAAGGUUAUGAGCAACCUGUGAAGGAUUAACUUACUGAUUAUGGUUUUAUCAAAUGGACACAAAUAUAUCUAUAGUUAGGGGAGUGCAACUACGGGACUUUAGUGGAAUGACCCGUUAGUUAACGAAUGUUGAUUAACUCGGUUUAAAAGAGUUUAGCUAGUUAAUCUUGAAUCGUUGGAGCCCAUGAUCUAUAGGUCCAUUAGGUUCCUCUGCUAGCUCAUAUGGAUUAAACUUAGAACAUGGUGAUAAAAUAAGUCGAAUUGUUCGAAUUGGGAGAAGAAAGGGAAACCGACAAAUAUAGUGAUAUAGUCGUCGGUCUUCUAAUUAGAAAUAGAGCUUUAUGUUUUACAUACUAUAAGUAUGAAUGCGGAUUCAUACUAAGAAGCUCGGAAUUGAUGGAAUUGGUAAAAAAAUAGUAAAAAGUCAAAAUGUUGACUUUUGACUUUGAAAAGUCAAACUUUGACCGGCCUUAUAUUCAAAUGUGAUUUGAAUUUUGGACAAAUGAAUGCGGAUUCAUGCUCGGGAGGUUGGAAUUAGUCAAGACGGACAAAAUGGUAAAAAGUCAAAAUAUUGACUUUUGACUAAGAAAAGUCAAAGUUUGACUUUUGACUAGAAAUAUCUAAUGACCAUUUUACCCUUGGACUAAGUUAGUGGGAAAUCCAACAUUUUGUUCUAUUUAUUGUAAUUAGCCUUGUUAAUGGCUUAUUUUUAUUGUUGCAAAGUGUUUGUAAUUUUUUUUAAAAUAAAAAAAAGUCAUUAGAGUUGAAGUUAGGCUGUAAUUGGUUCAACCGGGUGAGAGAAUUGAAAAAAAUAAAGAAAAGAAGGUCACAGACCCGAAAACCCGGCCUUGACCCGCUUCACGACCCGCCUGCGCCCGCGCGCCCGCCUGCGCCUGACCUGUGUGCGCCUGGGCGUGUUUAGUUAAUUGGCCCGAUUCAAGCCAAUAAAUUUGGUUUUUGGGCCGGUUCGAAGUUUUUGGGAGUGGUUCUGUACUACACCAAAUUAAUUAUGUAAUAAUUUAGUACUUAGUUUAAUUUAGGAGCCAAAAAUCAGUCCAUUUUAGGGUGUUUUUUUUUUAUUUAUGCAUGUGAUGUAUGAUUAAAUUACUUUAAAUUUGUAUGUGCAUUUUGAAUGUCAUAUAGAUUUAAAAUCCAACCAUAGGUUAACAUGUUCAUGCAUUAAAAUGUAUGAUAUAAAGGUUAUAUUGUAUUGUAUGCAUGUUAAUUGAUUAAUAUGGAAAUUAAUUAAUAUGAUUAAUUAAUUAUUUAAUUAAUUAAGUUAUUCUUGAUUAAAUAUGAUUUAAUCAAAUUAAUUAAUUAUUGUUUGAUAUUAAUUAAUUAAAUAUGGUUUAAUUAAAUUAAAAAAUGAUUUAAUUAAAUUAAAAAUUAAAUAUGAUUUAAUUAAAGUUAAUAAAAUUAAAAUCCAUAUUAAUUGAUUGUUUUUAUAAAGGUUAUAUAUUGAUAAAAUGAUUGAUUAAGUCUAAAAUUAAUUAAUUAUUGUUUUUACAAAAGGCUCCACCUGGUUCAAUCUUGUCAACAAGUCAGAUAAGAUGACUAAGGCUGGAGGUUCUUAAGUUGACGGUUUACGGAACACCUCCUACUGGAGAUCGUAAUCAGUUCUUGAGCCUAGUUAACCUAGUUUUAUGAGCAUUCGUGAGAGUGUGAGGUAUAUAAAAUGGUUUAUCACCUAGACAUCAUAGGUUAAAAUCCUGUAUAAUGGUUAUACUUGGACGUUUUAUCUAGACUUAAAGAUUUGUUUAAGUUAGCCUAAAUAUAAAUCUUGAAGCUUGGAUUACCCUAUUUUUUUUCUUCUUUUAGAACACUUCAACUAGAGAAAAAUAAAUGCUUUAGCUCUAGUGUCCCUAAGAGUUCACACUGUGAGGUCCAUGCAGGGCUUUGUGCUGUGCAUAAGAGCGGACUCCUUCGGAGAGUGUUUGCAUGGAUCAAAAUCAAGGUGAAUAAGGGAAGUAGUUCAUAGUAAGUGGGUGAGGGAUUUGUGGCAGCACAUCCCACGGUCUCUUCCAUUAGGUCGCACCGUGAGAUUUCUAUAAUAUGCCUACUUGUCUGCCUGGAGCGACGUUCCUUCGGAGGAGGGUUGUAUUAUAGGAUUUGGAACACCGCGAACUCCAAAUCUGGAUAGGUUUUCUUAGAUUAGUUUUCAUAAAUGAUUCUAAUCUAUGAAAGUCUGAAAAUGGUGGGUAACACUUACAAGAAUUACUAAGUUGUUAGUAUAUUCUUGACUAAAGUAGCGAUAACUAAGUGCUAUAAAGAAUAAGCAGUUAUUCUAGAGAUAGCAUCUAGUCAAGAUUGUCUUGGUUCAAAGGAGGAAUAAUCAACUACCCUUCGGAGAAGGUUGUUCUAAACCUUUGAAAUAUUGUUGCAAAAUACAAAUAAUGAAAGGGUACAUUAUUAGUAAUUGCUAAAUUAGAUUGGAUAUUUUUUAUGAUUAUAGUUUUUUCCUAAAAAGAAUAUGUUUGUUUUUCAGCAUGAAUAGCUCAAUAGUUCAACUUUUAGCUUUCGAAAAACUUAAUGGCGAUAAUUAUGCGGCUUGGAAAUCAAAUCUUAACACAAUACUAGUGGUUGACGAUUUAAGAUUUGUCUUAACUGAGGAAUGUCCUCAAAACCCUGCCUCUAAUGCUAACCGAACUAGUCGGGAUGCAUAUGAUCGAUGGAUAAAAGCUAAUGAAAAAGCCCGUGUCUACAUUCUUGCCAGCAGUCUGAUGUAUUGGCAAAGAAACAUGAAUCCUUAGCCACGGCUAAAGAGAUUAUGGAUUCAUUAAGGGGAAUGUUUGGGCAACAGAAUGGUCCUUAAGACACGAGGCAGUCAAAUACAUUUACACUAAGCGUAUGAAGGAAGGGACCUCUGUUAGAGAACAUGUUCUGGACAUGAUGAUGCACUUCAACAUCGCUGAAGUGAAUGGUGGUCCCAUCGAAGAGGUUAAUCAAGUUAAUUUUAUCUUAGAGUCUCUUCCGAAGAGCUUCAUUCCAUUCCAAACGAAUGCGUCUUUGAACAAGAUAGAAUUUAACUUGACAACCCUUCUGAAUGAACUCCAGCGAUUCCAAAACCUUACUAUGGGUAAAGGAAAACAAGUGGAAGCAAAUGUUGCUACCACAAAAAGAAAAUUUAUAAGAGGAUCGUCCUCUAAAACCAAAGAUGGACCCUCAAAACCUAAUGCUCAAAUAAAAAAGAAGGAAAGGGAAAGACUCCCAAACAGAACACGGGUAAGAAAGGUGCAGAAAAAGGUAAGUGUUACCAUUGUGGCCAAAACGGGCACUCGUUAAACAUGCCCAAAAUACCUUGCAGAAAAAAGGCAGAAGGAAACACAAGGUAAAUAUGAUUUACUAGUUGUAGAAACAUGUUUAGUGGAAUAUGAAAAUUGUACCUGGAUACUAGAUUCAGGAGCCACUAACCAUAUUUGCUUCUCAUUUCAGGAAAAUAGUUCUUGGAAAAAGCUUUCAGAAGGCGAGAUCACUCUCAAGUUGGAACAGGAGAGAUGGUCUCAGCUAGAGCAGUGGGAGAUUUAAAGUUGUUUUUUAGAGAUAGAUAUGUCAUACUUAAGAAUGUCUUAUAUGUACCUCAAAUGAAAAGAAAUUUAAUAUCUAUCUCUUGUAUUUUGGAACAAAUGUAUAGAAUAUCUUUUGAAAUGAAUGAAGCGUUCGUUUUCUAUAAAGGUAUUCUAGUUUGUUCUGCCAUACUUGAAGACAACUUAUAUAAGUUAAGACCAACCAGAGCAAAUUUUGUCUUAAAUACUGAAAUAUUCAGAACAGCUGAAACUCAGAAUAAAAGACAAAAAGUUUCUUCUAAUGCCUAUUUAUGGCACUUAAGACUUGGUCACAUAAAUCUCAAUAGGAUUGGGAGAUUGGUUAAAAGUGGGCUUCUAAUCAGUUAGAAGAUAACUCUUUACCUCCUUGUGAAUCUUGUCUUGAAGGAAAAAUGACCAAGAGAUCUUUUACUGGAAAAGGUCUUAGAGCCAAAGGACCCUUAGAGCUCGUACAUUCGGACCUUUGUGGACCACUGAAUGUCAAAGCUCGAGGUGGAUAUGAAUAUUUCAUUAGCUUCAUUGAUGAUUAUUCAAGGUAUGGUCAUAUUUACCUAAUACAUCAUAAGUCUAAUAGUCUUGAAAUAUUCAUUAGCCACAUGGGCCUUGCCCGACUAUUUUGUUAUGGACAUGUUUACAUUUUAACCGUUAAUAAGCCAACUUAGGCUAUCACACCCCACCAUGAGCACCUACUUGCGUGGCUCGAGAUAUGGCGUGAAGCCAAUCGAUAGCACCCACGUCAAGAACGACACCAUUUGACCCUUAGCUUGAACGUUUAAACUCUAAACAAUAGCGGAAACAUAACACAUAAAUUUUACUAAAACCAAUUGGGCUAAACCUUUUUCAUUUAACAACCUUAGACAAGUUUUACAUAGAAAAAACGUAAUCUUAUUUAUCUAGAAACAAACCUUAUAAAACCUUCCCAAAAGCCUAAGUCUGAUAGCACAAAAGACUAAUUUAUCAUUAGUACAAAAUAAUAGGACACAUACGAUAACAAAAUGAAAUCCUCAGUAGACAGGUAGCAGCAAGUUAGGCUUAGAGGACACGAUCUCUACCUAGAAAGUGGGAAAACAUUUUGAAUAUUAUGCAUUUUGAAGAGUAAACAAUAUGCUAGAAUAAAUACCUUUAAACAAUAACACGCUUGAAAGACUUUUCAUAACAUAACUUAAAUAUUUUAUCAUAAAUCCGUCAUAAUCAUGACUUAAGAACAUGCUUGAAAUCACUUUAAAUAAAACAUUUUCCACUCACAGAUACAAGCUCAAAUCCUUGGUUUAUAAAUUUGUAUGAUCUUCUCAUGUCUUGAAAUAAUGGUAAAAUAGUACAAUUAAUUAUCUUUUGCAAGAAAAUAUCAAAAGUAUACUUAAAAAACUCAAAAAAUUACCAAUAGCUCAACACGCAAUAUGACACUGCUUGACACGAAUGGGGUGGUGGCAGGGCUUGGUUGGGCGCUGCUACUGUGUGUGAUCUCACAAGAGGCUUUCAUGCGUGUUGGGCAUGCCCGCGUGCUAACCUCACGCACAAGCACAUUGUGAACCUCACUGGUUGCGUGCUUGGCAUUUCGUAUAGCCCUCCUCAUGUGCAUUCUUGGCUAGUGCAUUUCUUGUGUCACAAUCGCGAGCUUUCAAACACGAGAGGCGCGAUUAUGUUGCACUUGUUUUACGUAGACAACAAGUUAGCUGAUCAAAAUCCAAAAACCACAGACAAACACAUGAUACGAUGUAGCCUCUCUUCAGGUUCUUGAGAAAAUGUUUUAUAAAACGUGAGAAGAAAGAAAUUCAAUGAAAAUAUCGUUAAAGCAAGCAUUGAAGACUGUCAAUUGCAAAGAAAAACUUUGAUUGCGAAGAGUGCAACAAGGCUUGGGCAGGGAUUCAACUACUAUGUCCCAUCUAUAGUACAUUUUAGACUUUUUUAGUUCUGGUAGGCUUGCAUAAGAAAAAGCCAAGUCACACCCAAGGUUUAUGACAUAAAAAGGAAAGCAAAAAGUAAAACUAAAUACAAAACAUGAAAACAAUGUAAAUUGGGGGUGUUUGGGCAUGCUGCCAUAAGUAAACAGCGCCCUGGACAAGCAUGCUUGUUACAUUCUUCCCCACUUAAACAAUUGACGUCCCUGUCGAUUGGCGAAGCUAGAAUUCCUCGAUCUUCUUCUUUCACGCUCCAAGGUCUUCAGCACAUUCCUAACAUGUUUCUUCCACAUGGAGGUUCUUUCACUUCAGUAGGAAUUCAUGUAUCUUCUUCAUGGGUAUACCCUUCCUCACUCUCUUAGGAAGGAUUUCUUCCAUUUCUUUAUUGUCUUUCUGCUUUAGGUCACUAGAUGACCAUACACCAUUGUUGCACUACUGGUCAUCUGGAUCUUGAUGGUAAGGUUUCAAGUUGCUCACAUGAGCUACUAGAUGAUUUUUUAUCCAUGCAGGCAACGAUACCCUAUAGGAUGAAUUUCCAAUUUUCUUCAGAACUUCAACAGGCCCUUCGUAUUUUCUAGUGAGAUGCUGAUGUUGAUGUCCAAUAAAUGAAAUUUGCUUUGCUUUAAACUCUAUGAAGAGUUGGUCUUCCGCUCAAAACUUGAGCCACAUCCAUCAACUAGGCCCAAUUCUUUUGUCCAAAAUCAACAAAAUGUAGUAGAUAUUCCUUAAGCAUACAAUUGAAUCCUUCAGUUUGGCCAUUCGUCUGAGGAUGACAGCUUAAGGAUAUAUUUAGGCAUGUCCCCAAGAAGGCGAAUAGUUCGGUCCAGAGAGUACCAAUGAAUCUACCAUCCUUGUCACUCACAAUGAACAUAGUUUUGUAGUGGGGAUAAAGGUGGCGUACUUCGAGAACCAAUUGAUUAUAACCAAGAUGCCUCAAAGUGGUUCACCUUUGGGAUGUGUAAUAAAAUCCAUGGAUUUCGCACAUUCUACUAAAGCCUGAAGCCCCGUAUGCUGCAAGAAUCAGUGUUGCCAAUCGAGGUUGCAACGUUUCAAAUGCAACUGAUCAGCAUACCAUUCAAAAUUUGAAUUUUCAACAUGACGAGUUUGUAACUUUAGUGCCCUUGGAGAAGAAAAUGAAAUUCAGGGUAUGUGUAAUUCAGGUUUUGUUCCACAAGAUAGUACAAUUUAAAUUAUUCUCCAUAUGUUGCUUAAUUAUCUCAUAACGGUUUAUUUAAACCAGGAUGCAGUGCAUGACAGCAACGGUCCAGUUUCUUUAGCAGAAAUAGAGAACAACACGACAACUAGUAUUGCAAAAUUAUCCAAUACUCUUGGUAAUUUGGAUGAGACACAUUGUUCUUGCUCUAAACAUAGCGCAAAGAGAGUUUGGGAAGUAUCACUUUCUUCCCUGACGUCAAAGAAAGUAAAAGGAGUCAAUCUGGACCAUUUCCAUUCCCACUCUAACAAAAAUCUUGAUCCUAAAAGUGAUGUAUACGAUACCUGCUCUCAAUGAUGCUCUUUAGCCAAUUCAAAGCAUGAAAUUUUAUCAAGUAUUUAUCCUAAAAAUCCAACCAAUCAGUGUACACAAAAUUUUUGUCAAGAAUUUGGAAGUGUAAAUGUGGCAUCAGAGGACCUCAAUUCUGAAGAGCUAGAGAAGCUUCUGAUUCCUUCCCUCCAUUAUUGAUAAAUAAAAUUGAGGUUAAGGCUUAUCAUAUACAUACCCAGUCACUGAACUUCUCCAUAUUCCUUAAGAGGCAUAUCUUGCUUGGCUUAUUUGGCUGGCUCUACUCAUGUAAGCUUUCAAAAGGCGAAUCUGACAUCCUGCCAAAAAUGAUUAAUCAGUUUCUUUAACUGUUGAACUUUUAGGUUGUAUACUAGCAAGCACCUGAAGUUUAGGGAUUCAUUUUAUAUUAUUCUUAAGAGUUAUUCAAUAUCCCUACCUAGAAUAGACAAAUGAAGCUUGAAACUACCCAUAAUAUUAAUGUUGUUGUUUAAUUAUGACAUUUUGUUAUCGGUCUUUCUAACUUACGAAUAUCCAUCUUCUGAUAUGUGUUCACAUGCAUAUUUUAUGGAUGUAGAUUUUAUAGUAUUUCUUUAUUUAUUUUAUAUGGCAUUAGCUGUUAUACUUUUUUAUAAAAUAUUAAUAUAAAUAUUAAACUACCGAUUCACCAAAAAGUUUAAGCUGGUGGUUGAAAGAAAAUUCAAUUAUAGCCUUAAGCACAUUGGUGGACUAGAAAGUAUAAUCUUAGAAACACUCAAUCUGAUCAAGUUCUCUGAAGCAAGAAUUAAAGUUCGGAAAAAUCUUUGCGGAUUCUGCAACUAUAGAAUUAAAGAGUGAGAACUGAGGAAAUUUUCCCUUAAUUUUGGGGAUUUUGAACCCAUAGAAGCUCCUGUAAUAAUCCAAUCUGAUCUAUUUCAAAGUGAUUUUUCCAAUCCUAUUGAUUUAUGUAGAAUAAAUUCAGUGAUUUUAGAUGAGGGGCUCCAAAGUGAUGGUCUCCUAGAUACCUGAAUUUUUCUCAAAACAGAAUGCCCCAUCCAUCACAAGAAAUCUUUCGAAGCACUUAGGAAGUUGGGUGAUGAAGAAGAAAACCUUGUUCGACCGGAAAGAGUUUCAGCCCUUGAAUCCUCGCCGGAAAAAAUAAUUUUCAGAAGGCAAAAUUCAAAUUUGGGUAUAGUUGGCAUCUCCACGUACUUAGAAGGGGAAAAGACUUCAACAAAAAGAGAGAAAAACAGACUCGAAAGAAGAAAAGGCAGCCAGCCGACAUUUUAUUAUCUCAAAAAACAGCUCACCUAGCCCUCCCCAACCAGAUUGUUUCAAACUUAAUGUAUCUGCAGACAUUUUAAAAGCUGACACACAGAUGGUAGGCCCCAAGAAUUUUAUUAAUCAGAAUUCCAAUGGCUUUUGGUAUUCUGACGAAUUGGAGGAAGAAUCAGAGUCCUCUCCUCAUCAAGGAACUUCACUUGCGGGCCAUCUCCUGUUUUCAGUUCUCAACCAAAAUUACCAGCCUCUCCCAAGACUAAAAUAUCAUCUGCAAUGAAAGCUAUUCCAUUUCAUGCCAGAAAUUUUUCUAAGCACCUCAAGACCUAUACCAAAGGGAGAACUUCUUUUCGCAACAUUUGGAUGAGCUUGGCUAAUUCUGAUUUAUUAGAGGAAAGUUUGUGAAGAUACAAAUUCCAAAUUCAGUUGGCAAAAGGUCAGUACUGCCUUCCUCCUUAAGUAAUAAAUUUUCUCAAUCCUCCUCCAAACUUUCUGGUUCAUUCUUUAAUUUUGUGCAAGAUACUUCUUGUCUAAAAAAAGUUGAGAACCUAGAAGAUGAAUUCAUGGAAGUUGAAUCAGUCACCAGUGUGUAUCUUCCCCUCAAGAGUUGGUUCCUUUCUUGGCAGCAUGUGAAAUUAAAUUGAUAUAAGGUAGAGGUAGCAAAGAUGGAGAUUAUAUCAUGGAACACUAGAGGAUUCAUGGGCUAUUCGAAACAAUUGGCUAUUAAAAAUAUUUUGAAGAAAGCUAAUCCAGAUAGAUCUUUGAUUCCGGAGACCAAAAGAGAAGAGAUUGCCAGUUGUAUUAUAAAGGCACUAUGGAGUUCAAAAGGAAUUGGCUGGGUCUUUGUUUGAAGCUAGUGGCAAAUUAAGAGUUUUGCUGAUUAUGUGGAUAAAUAUAAGUUGUCGAUUAUUGAAGUUCGGUCAAGAGAAGGAAGGUCAUUACAGUGUGUGCUCAUAAGUUGUUUCAACAUUAAUUUAUAAGUUGUUUGGAAAGGUUCUCGCAGAAAGAUUAAAGAAAGUCAGGCCAGGUAUUACUUUGUAAGACCUCCUAUUAUCUAUACCUAUAAAAGGAAGGGUAGAAAGAGAAAUUCCUUAGCAACCAAUGAUGAGAGAAUAAUGGGAGAGGAUCGUGCAGGUGGGGCUGCCAGGAGGGAUGAGAGAGAGGUAUAAAUAUGUAAUCUAACAUACUUCUCCAUUACAAUGUGGCUUUCUGGAAGAGUGCCAAAUCUUGGAUCCUAUUUUAAUAGCAAAAGAAACUAUGGAGGUCUAUAGUAUCCGAAAAAAGAAAAGAUGGAUCAUUAAAUUAUACCUUGAAAAGGCCUUUAACAGAGUGGAUUGGAAAUUUUAGAAAAUGUAAUGCAAAAGAAGAUCUUCGAUGUAGGAUAUUGUGUUAUAUUGGCCAGCCUUUACAGCAUCCCCAUUUUGAAGUUUUGAUGAUCAGGACUUUCGGAUCAGCCCUCUGCUUCAAACAGUUUUUGCUCAACCAAUCAAGGCUUAUUCUUCUUUGUUCUCAGCAUGCUGCCUUUGAUUAUGAUUUUUCUUUGGAAAGAUUCUUUUUAUCAUUUUGUUUGUCUUUGUUUUUGUGGCUUUUUGUUUUGAUCUUGUGUUGUCGCUUUUUGGAUGUUUUGAGGGCACUAAGGGGGUGUCAACCUAGUUUGAGAUGCCCGGAUGCGCCUGUUGAUCUUCCCUCUCCUCUUUUGCUCUGUGUAUAAUCCUCAUGUACAUUGAGCUUUGUGUCUUUCUUUAUAUUAAUAAUAGUGAGACUCGUAUCCUUUUUUAAAAAAGAAAAAAAUUCAAUUAUAUAUCACCAACACUCUCCUCACUUGUGGGCUUGAAAUAUUUGAAAGGCCCAACAACUGGAAAUGGAUUUUAAUUGGGGAGGAAACGACAAUGCGAGGCUUGAACACAAGACCUUCUUGGACCACCUGCUCGGAUACCAUAUUGAAAGGGAGACAAACAAACACAAAACUUUACGUGGAAACCUGUGUACCAGGAGAAAAACCACUAUAUUUUUCUUCUUAUUAUUUUCUGAUGAAAAAUACAAUAGGUACAAGGGAGAAUAAAUAGAAUAUACAGAGGAAUAAAAAAGGAAAAUAUUUAGGAAUUAAGAAAAAUAUUCCCAUAAACUUUUCAUAAAUAUUCUAAGAUUCUAACAAUAAAAAGUUCUAUUUAUUCCAAAUUGUGACUGCUCUAAUAUGCAGUUGUUUUCUGAUUCAGAUGAUUGAGGAGCUUGGUGGUUCUCUCACUGCUGAUGGGAGUACAAGCACUCAUGUCAUUACAGGAAAAGUGCGGAAAACUCUAAAUUUUUGUAUUGCUCUCUUUUUAGGGUUAGUCUUGCAACCUUAGACGAACACUCUUCUAUGUGUCCUUUUGGCCUUUGAAUACCGAUAAUCAUCUCAUUUGCACCAAAGUUAGCAAUUCCAUGCACACAAGGCCUUUGCCGUUAUUUUUCCAUUGCCUCGUAGUUGUGCUUAGGCUGGAAAUUGUUGUGAACCUUCUAAAUCUAAAAGGGCAUAGUUUCUUAUUCUACUGCCUGUUUACUUUUAGUUAAACAUCAAAAUCAAUUCUUAUGUUUGAGUUGGAUUGUAUCAUGCUCUUCCUUUUCAGUUGUUUCUAUCGUGAUGGUGGGUAGUGGUUGUUAAGACAACCAUUAGGCUAAUUUGGGUUGCAGGCUUACUUUUCCCAUUUUACGUGUAAAAUGGCUCAAGCUCACUAAUGAAAGAUAUUUGUUGGCUAGCUAGUGUUUUUAUCCUCGAUUUCCUUCUUCCCCUAAUACAUUAUGUUAUGGAAUUUGUUAGAUACCUAGAUUAGUAUAGGGUUGGGGUAUAAGGUAAUUAGAUAUUUAGAAAGUUACUAGUAGUUAUUGUGUAAGUGUGGUUACUAGUAGUUAUUAUGUAAGUGUGGUAACUAGGGUGGUUACAUGUUAUUAUAAAUGGAGGGAGGGUAAGUGGGGAGAAUUCUGGGGAGUGAUAUAAGGCUUGGGUGAGAGUACUCAAGAGGGAGGGUUCCAAGUGCUUUAUACUUGGUUUUAUCUUGUAUUUUCUUAUAGUUACAUUAUAAUAAAUUCAGAUCUUGUUCUUGUUAGGAAGUAUAUGUCUCCAAUAUUAUUUAAAUACAGUAGAAGAAUUAAAAGGGUAAUAUUGACCCACACGAGAAUAUAGGAGAGAUUAUAGGAGGAGAGAAUAUCGGAGGAGAUCCCAUUAGUUUGUUAGUAAAGCAAAAUAAAAGGGAGGAAAGAGGAGGGAGAAAGGGGACAAAAUAUUCCAAAGAAGUAGAGGCUGCCGUCUUUCGUGCUCGGGAGAAGUAGAGGGUCCAAGUCAAGUUCUUUUUAUUCGACAAUCUCCGGAAGAAUGGAAGGAUCGUCGAGCAAAGGACCAACGAUUGAGAGUAUCAUCGAAGGUGGAGGUAAGACAUUGAAGGAAAUCAAGGUAGAAGGUAAAACAAACAAGUUUGAAAGGGAUGAAAACUCAAACGAUCAUAGCAAAUUCAAGAAGGUUGAAAUGCCUGUGUUCAGUGGCACUGAUCUGGAUUGUGUUUAUUUAGAAUGGAUUGGAAUCUUCAGGUCCAUAAAUCGAUGGACUCCAAGAAGUUGCUGAAUCCAUAGAAGAAUCGAGGAAAACGCGAUUGCAACGGUUAUACAACGAAGGUGAAGAGGAUGGCAAAGAGUGACCAAGAAGAAACUAUAGAGGAAGGUCGAUGAUGAUUACCUGUGAGGCUCGAAAUGAAGACUCGAGUGAAGAAAAAUUUGUUGCUCACAGAAACACAAAAUGGCUGGUUGCAAUGGAGAAAGAAGAAGCCGACAGUUACCGGUCUACAGAGGCUCGAGAAGGUGGUCUGGAAUAGGGGUGAAUCACGUGACGAGGAAGAAGUUGCUGCACACAUGAUGGUGCCAAUGACGUGGUAGAAAUUGGUAGGAAAGAGGAUUAGGACAAAAGGAACAAUCUUGGGUUUUACUAUUUCAAGUGGGCUUCAACUUACUCUAAAUGAGCUUCAACUUAUUCUAAAUAAAACAUUGGGGGCACAUCAUUUUGUAGAUGAAGUGGGUGGAGAGUUCCAAAAAUAGGAGGGAAGAAAAACGUGUAUGUAGGUGGGUCCUAGGAAUGAAACCGGCGGCAGUAUGAUUUUGAUCUUGACGCAACAAUUUGAUUAUGGCCUAGCCCACUAGAGAUGAAGGGUUUGAAAAUUAAACACUUGUUGGUGAUAUGCAAAGGGUUAACUAAGACAAUGUGUUAUGGAAAAGGAAAAUUCAAGUACAUUGGGCUGCUUUGUGGGCUGAAGUCAAUGGACCUUAUUGGAAUCGAGAGUUUUUCAAAGCCGAAGGGGAGGAUUUCUUUUUCAACAUUGAAGAGCAGAAUGCUGGGGAUUGUUUGCAAUUAAAAAGAGAAAAAAAGAGAAAGGGGCCUUGAUCAUGUUUGUAAGCACACCUUGAGGACAAGGUGUUUUGAAGGAUCGGGUAAUGUUAGAUACCUAGAUUAGUAUAAGGUUAGGGGUAUAAGGGUAAUUAGAUAUUUAGAAAGUUACUAGUAGUUAUUAUGUAAGUGUGGUUACAUCUUAUUAUAAAUGGAGGGAGGGUAAGUGAGGGGAGAAUUCUGGGGAGUGAUCUAGGGCUUGGGUGAGAGUACUCAAGAGGGAGGUUCCAAGUGCCUUAUACUUGGUUUUAUCUUGUAUUUUCUUAUAGUUCAUUAUAAUAAAUUAAGAACUUGUUCUUGUUAGGAAGUAUCCUAACAGAAUAACUCUAGAAGGUCUCAUGUUAGCGAAUGAUAAUCUGCGUUAAGUGUGUAUUUGUAGGAGUUCUUCUCCCGGGCAUCUAUGGUUGAUAUUCUUUACCUUUCAAUAUAUCAAAGCCAAGGAUUCUUUUGCAUUUCUCUAUGCUUUUUCUUUACCCAUUUAUGCUUUUUUUAGUUAUAUUUGAGAGUAGUAUUUCAUUUCUUUCAUGUGAAAUGUUGAACUUCAGUAGUGUGGAGAGUGGAACGUAAUAUCUUACCUUUUAUAUUAGUAAACUUGAUUUUAAGCAAUGUGUUUUUGAAGAUUUUAUGUUGUAGAAUGUUUUUUGUUCUUCAAGCUACUGUUCUUAACUUUAUUUUCUCCUGUUAAUGUUCUCAAUGAUUAUCGAGCAUAUGCAUUACCAUGUGGCUUCAAGCGUGUCAGUGUGCUCUUGCUCAUAAUUUUUACUAUAUCUUGUUACUAAAAUUGCAAGUUAAUUGCAAAUUACUCAGAGCUUGGAUUGUCUCCUCCAGUUGGUUAAAGGAAAGCUACCGGGAAGGCAGAUUUGUUGGUAAGUUCGAAUGGCUUGCUAGUAUCAAAGCGUAAUGUAUUUUCUUCCACUUAUGUUUUUCAUCCUACCUAAUUUUUGUGAUUGAUUAAUUCCUUAUGGAUCUGCAGACGAGUUGCCUUACAUACUAAAUGAUGAUGACUACAUAUCGAAGUAUCGAGCCAGCCUAAAAGCUGUAGUUCUCAGGGCAAAAGCAUGUUCUUGAGCUUUAUUUGAAGGGUAUGAUGUUUGCAUAUCAGCUCACGCUCAACCACCACCUAAAACUCUAUCCCUGAUAGUCAAGUCAGCCGGUGGAAAUGUAAGUUCUCUGUUAUUGUACAAAUCUCGAGUACUAGGUUUGGUUCUCUAUAUUACAUAUACAACCACUAUAAUAUGGCUAUCCUCCCAUCUAAUGAAGACGUGAAGUUCUCAAAAAACAAGCACGUAUACGAAUUCUAGACAUGGGUCAAUAAAUCAUAGACAUGGUGACGUGUCAUUUUUUUCUUAAAAAUAUAGGAUAGUGCUAGAACACAGUUUUAAUAUAUAUAAUUUAAAAAGUAUGUAUCAUAUUUAUAUAGAAAUUCAAAGUCAAUAAGUUUAUGUAUUUAUAUGCUUAAAAAUAAGCUUGUCCUUCACUCAAAACUUAUUCAAAGCCAAGAGUUUAAUAUGUGUGUGUGACCAAUCUUGACCUUUAUUGCAUUGGAAUACUUGUUGUCUAACACAUCUACUACUAACUAGUGUUCAACACGUGUUCUCCGAGUGUUCCAUACAUAUUGUUUAUUGAUACACUACCCAAACUAGAGUGUAUGUGCUUCUUUAAGUCUUUAAUAUUUAUGUUUGUUUUGAUCCUAGGAAUUGAGCAUGUAAUGUAAAAAGUCUAUGCACAAGGGGUCAUAUGGCCAUCUCCGUGUUUCUUUAAUUAUCAAAUUUGUUCAAGUUUUUAAUUGUCUCUAGAUCGAAAUCUGGAGUUAUUUUUUGUGAUUUGGUGUACAAAUACAUACAUCCAUGUUUCUAAUUAUGAUUAGAUUGUUUUCUGGUCGCAACAUUUUAUUGUUUAGCUUGUCUUUGAUCUUGAACUUACUAUUAUGUUGAUUUAAAUUCCAUUUUAGCCUUAGAACUUUCAAAACAUCCAUUUUAGUCAUCGAGCUUCCAAAACGUAGCCAACUAACGGUUUUAGUAUUUUGUAAAUUAUUUUAUCAAUUAAUAUUCAUUUAUCCAAUACUCAUCGGUCAUUUCUGCUAUAUGUGAUUGGAAUAUAUCUCAUAGGAAGCAUUUUGAAAGUUGGGAAAAGAUGAAAAAUUUUAGGGACUAGAACAAGAAUUUGUUUAAUAUUUUUUGAUAGGGUGAAUACUUGCAAUUUCCUUGUAGUAUAUACAUAAUUUUUUCUCUCAUUUGGCAAAUUCAUUAUGCUUGAAAAUUUAGGUGAUUCAUGAGCUAGAUAAAGUAAACAACGUAUGGAAGACGAGCUUUGUGGCUUGUGAGGAAGACGUGGAGGAAGCCUUGGUGGCCGUAGAAAAAGGGAUAUGGACUUUCAACGUUGAAUGGCUAAUGGCAUGUAUAAUGAGACAAGAAGUAGACUUGGAGGCCCCUCAAUUUGCUGAGUCCCUAUGAGAAACAAGGUCACCCUAACUUUCAAUUUUGAACAAGCAGCAGCCAGCCAUUUCGUCCUUGUGUAAAUCCACUCUUUUCUCAACUCACUCUAAUUUGGUACAUAAACAAACUCUGAUCGCUCCAUCUCUAUAUUCAUCAGUACAUAAAAGACGAUAAGUUUAUUCAUGGAGAAAGUUGGAUGUAAGUAUGUUUUAGGAAUGGUCCUUCAUUUAGUAACUUUGGGAAUUGUAAAAUGAGGUAAUGAAGUUCUAUCAAGUUGAAUGUUCUUGUUUAUGUUGGAUGAGACUGAUUCUUGGAUACCAGAAUUAACUUGAAGUACGUGUUUGAGUUCCAUUGGAGUGAUUAGAGAAAAAAUGUUCCUUUAAAAAGGGUAUUUUUUUUAUGUAGACUUUCUUUUUAUUAAAAUUGCUUAAAAUACAAUUUGAGAGUAUUUCAAUAGCUUUCAAAGAGUUGUCAAACACUUGUAGUUUUUCUAAAAUAACAUAUUUUCAAAAUUAAUUACUGUAAUAGUUAAACAAAAGAUUCUUUCCCUUAGAACUUUUAAAGUUUGUCUAGUUACCUCUUAAACCUUUCAAUUGUUUAAUAGGUCUUUCAAUUUUAUGUUUUAAGUGUCUAUAAAUUUUGAUUUUUUUUUAUUUGUUAGAUAUAAAUCUGAAGAAAUGAAUAAAGUAGAUUGUAAGUAAAAUAGUUUAAAAGUUGAGAAAUUAAAUUUGUGGUUUAAAAAGUUGGAGUAAAUAGUUUGUGUUAAGUCGGGUUGUGAUAUUUUAUUUAUUUAUUUUAAUAAUAGAAGAGAGGGAGACGAAAACUGCAAACUGAAGGGAGAAGAAGCGGUGGCUGAAUUUGUAUAUUUCUCCUUUCUUUUCAAUUUGAGAAAAUUUCUUUGCAAUUCACUUUGAAAAGGAAAUGAAUUGUAACGACCCAACUUUUCUAGGUAAGUCGAGGUCAUUAAUUUUUGACAAAAGACUUUGGUUGAUACAAAAUGAAACGUAAGCCAAUUUAAAAACAACUUUAAGUCAGGCCUGAUUUUCUAAUAUAAAAAAAAAACUUAAAAAUAAUACUAUUUACAAAUAAAAGUUUGUAAACUAAAUUUCAAUACAACAUCUUAAACCUCAAAAGAAACCAUAAGCGGAAGCAAAAUGACACGUUUCCUAUGGCAAUCACGCUUCCUUCCUGCCCCUCGCCGAUUUGCCACCUUUAUUUCCUUUGCCUGAAAAUUAAACAUAAGAAGGGUGAGUAUAACAAUACUCAGUAAGAGACCCUCUACUGGUCCCGUCAGGGGAAAAUAAAUUGUUAACAUUCUAUUGGGACACCCUGUACAGUCGCAGUCUUGUGAUCCCGUAGGAUGCACAUUUCAGUCUAACGCCCGAGGGACGUACAUAUCAGUCUAGUGUUCUGCAGAAACACAUAUCAGUCUAAUGCCCGAAGGUGCAGAAUAAAUUGGUGAUCCCGUGGGACACCUACAAGGCACACAUCCCAAUAAAAGCUAACAAUUUUCCCCUCAUUCCAUUCAAUCCAUCUUUCAGUUACUUCAAAAUAUAAAGUUCUUUCUCUCAACGUCCUAACAGUCAACUUAUCUCACUUUAGUCAUAUGUCUGUCAAUAACAUACUAAUACGUCAGUCAAUCAAACUAUACAGUCAAUACACCCCUCAGUUCACCAGCACACAGUCAUACUUUAGCGUAACGUACACCCAGUCUAAACGACAAUCACAAGUUCACAUCUGCAUCUCAUACAAACACAAUCUACAAUUUUCGUCCUGUCCACAUCCACACACAUAUAUAUAUUCCAAGACAAUCACAAUAUGCAUUCAACACUAAGUCUACUUCAAUCCAUAUGUAUAUAUAUAUUUUCAGUCAAUCCACAGUAUACAUUCAACACCGAAUCUACAUCCAUACGUGUAUAUAUAUAUAUCAUCUCAACAUCUUUACUCAGUCAGAGACAAUCAUACAGACAUACAAUUCACAAUCAUAAGUGAGUCCAGUAGAAAAUCCCUUACCUCAAAGUUAGGGAAGCUCCUUAAUCAACUAACGUCCUCGAAACAAUCCUAAGCAAUACAAUACAAAAAUUCGAUUACUUUCAAGAUACAUAUCUCACUUACUUUCCUCAACGUAAGUUCCAACUCACCGAAGUAUUGGCGAACUGAACCCUCAACAAUUCAUAUAUUGGUUGUGAAUUUAAGGGAGCCCAACGUUACUCCCAACACCUCAACGCACGACUGUCGAACUCGCAGCAAAAAUCCUAAGUGUGGGUCGGUCAGCGGUCGGCCAAAGGAGACGUGGCGGCUGCCUCAAAAUCGAUCGACGAUCUGACACGGCGACCGGGCUUCACAAGAUGUAUGCAUCGACGGCUUCACGGAGGUGAAGACAGACGCGGUCGGAGAGUCGCGCGGCAGUGCAGAAAACAGAGGAGAACGAAAUGGGCGGCGGCUGGAAACAGAGGUUGCGCCGCAGGGCUUCACGAACGGCCGACGGUUGCAGCGACGGAUCUGGGUUACUGCAAACUGCAAGGGUGAAGCACGAGCGGCAGCGAGGACCUGGACGGCUCGGCGAUGCAGAUCUGGACGACGCGUUGUGAGCGGGGAGGCACGACAGUUACAGGUGGAUGGCGCGCGGCGGUUUCGAUCCGAAGGAGAAAAGAGAGGGUGGCGGUUGGGUUCGGCUUCGGUGAAUGGAGACGGAAACAGACGAACGGAGAGUCACGCGGGACGACUGCUGCAAGGUUGCUUCGCGAACGGAGAUGGAGAACGGAAGGGAGGGUCGCGGCGCUGGGCGGAAGAAGAAAAGGGAAAAAAGAAAUUUUCAUUUUCUUUUCUUUUUAUUUAAAAAAAUAUAUAAAAUAAAUAUAAUAAAAAUAUAUAAUAAAUAUAUAUAUAUAUUUAAAAUUUUCAUUUUUUUUCUUUUAUUUAAUAAAAUGUAAAAUAAAUAUAAUAAUAAAAAUAUAAUUAAAUACAUAUACAUAUUUAAUUAUAUUAAUACAUUUUCAAAUCUUCUUUCUCCCCUUCAACAUAUUUAAAAAAAAAAUCUUGAACAAAUCGAAAUAAUUCUCUCAAAAUAAUUUACCUUCAAGUUUGGGGCGUUACAUGAAUAUUUCUCCCUCAGGCUUAUCUCUCUCUUCUUCUCAAUUUAUUUUCAAUUUUUCUGUGUGCUUCUCACAGUGUAUGCAUAAUCUCUCUUUCAUUUUGAUCUUCAUCUCCAUUUCAAAUAUCUCCCACACAAAGAACAAAGAAAUGAGUAAAGUAACUGAGAGAGCAUUUUGUUUUUCCCUUCAUAUGGUUGGUUACUUUUUGUCAAUUAAAUGAAAAGUGAAGAAUAAGAUAAGAUUUUCUUUACCCAUUUGCCAUCAUCAUCAAAGCUAUUUACCUCAUUUUUGUUCACACACACACAACUUCAUUUUGUUGGAUUACACUCAUUUGAGAAAAUAGCAAAAUUUUAUUAGAAGAAUAGCAAACAUGAGCAUUUCACGUGUUUUGAAUUUUCAUUAACCCUAAAAUCUCCUCGCCUGCUUUUUAGUUAAACUGUAACUAAUUUUGAAAUAUGCAAAAUUUUAGCAUAAAUAUUGAUUUUCUCCUACAUUAUCUUAACACACUUUUUUUUCCUCCAAAUAUUGGAUUUGUAUCAAAUCUUUAUUUUCAAAUUUUACUUUAUCCAAAUUUUCAUUUUUCAAAAUUUCAUCGUUAUUCUACUUUUAUUUUUGUAUUUCAUAUAUAUAUAUAUAUAUAUAUAUAUAUAUUUAUAAUAUUUAAUCUUAUUUUUUCUCUUUUCCUAUUCAUCUUCUUCCUUUCUCUUCCUCUUCAACCUACGGCCACACCACCGUCUCUUUUCUUCCUUCUCUUUUCAUUCUCCAAUCAACUUCAUCACCGUCUUCCACCUACACCGAACGUCAAGCAAAUUUUGUCCUAUCGUCGCAUCACCGUUAGACCGAGUCACUCCGGUUCCGUCACGCCAUGUAUGUUUAGAUUUGAAUUGUUCGGUUAUUUGUUGCACCGAUCCGUCUCCGUUAGAAUUUGAUUCUCCACAAUUUGGGUAAGUUAUGGAAUUUACAUAUAGAGUGAAUUGAAUGGAUUAAAUUGUUUGUAGAAGUGAUUGAUUUCUCUUCAAUUAUGUUUAGGUCGGUUCGUUGCACUUUAGUUUGAAAAAUAAGCUUAAGUAAGGUUAUAAGGUAAGGGAUUCUCUACUAUUGGACUCACCUAUAGUUCUGAAUUGUGUUGUCUGUAUAGUUACCUCCGAUUGAGUAAAGAUGUCGAAACGAUUGGGACGGAACCAAGAAACCGAGUCAAGGGCAUCACCGUUCGGCUUUUGUGGGCAAGACUCUUCGAGAUCACUCAAAUCGGACCGUCCAGUGGUUAGAUGUGAACUUUCGAGGCCUCCGACCCCGUUCUGAGUCGGUCGUUCCUUUCUAGGUCAUUGUGCCUUUCUUCGACGUUUUGGGACGGAACCAAGAAACCGAGUCUGGGCAUCACCGUUCGGCUUUUGUCGGCAAGAAACUUUGAGAUCACUCAGCAUCAGACCGCCAGUGGUUAGAUGUGAAGUUUCGAGGCCUCCAACCCCGUUUUGAGUCCGGCCGUUCCUUUCUAGGCCAUUGUGCCUUUCUUCGACGUUUUGGGACGGAACCAAGAAACUGAGUCUAGGGCAUCAUCGUUCAGCUUUUGUGGCAAGAAACUUCGAGAUCACUCAGAAUCAGACCGUCCAGUGGCUAGAUGUGAACUUUUGAGGACUCCGACCCCUGUCUGAGUCCGGUCGUUCCUUUCUAGGCCAUUGUGCCUUUCGUCGGCGUUUUGGGACGGAACCAAGAAACCGAGUCUGGGCAUCACCUUUCUUUUGUGGGCAAGAAACUUCAAGAUCACUCAGAAUACGACCGCCCAGUGGUUAGAUGUGAACUUUCGAGGCCUCCGACCCGUUCUGAGUCUGGUCGUUCCUUCCUAGGCCAUUGCCUUUCUCCGGCGUUUUGGGACGGAACCAGAAACUGAGUCUAGGGCAUCACCGUUCGCCUUUUGUGGGUAAGAAACUUCGAGAUCACUAAGAAUCGGACCGCCCAGUGGCUAGAUGUGAACUUUCAAGUUUCCGACCCCUGUCUGAGUCCGGUCGUUCCUUUCUAAGCCAUUGUGCCUUUCUUUGGCGUUUUGGGACGGAACCAAGAAACGAGUCUGGGCAUCAUUCGUUUUGUGGGCAAGAAACUUCGAGAUCACUCAGAACGGACCGCCCAGUGGUUAGAUGUGAACUUUCGAGGCCUCGACCCCGUUCUGAGUUCGGUCGUUCCUUUCUAGGCCAUUGUGCCUUUCUUCGGCGUUUGGACGGAACCAAGAAACCGAGUCUGGGCAUCACCGUUCGGCUUUUGUACAAGAAACUUGAGAUCACUCAGAAUCGGACCGCCAUGGUUAGAUGUGAACUUUCGAGGCCUCGACCCGUUCUGAGUCCAGCGUUCCUUUCUAGGUCAUUGUGCCUUUUUCGGUUUUGGGAGGAACCAAGAAACCGAGUCUGGGCAUCACCGUUCCUUUUGUGGGCAAAAUUUGAGAUCACUCAGAAUCGGACCGCCCAGUGGUUAGAUGUGAACUUUCGAGGCUCCGACCCCGUUCUGUGUCGUUCCUUUCUAGGCCAUUGUGCCUUUCUUGGCGUUUUGGACGAAACCAAACCGAGUCUAGGGCAUCAUCGUUCGCUUUUGUGGGCAAGAAACUUCGAGAUCACUCAGAAUCGGACCGCCCAGUGGCUAGAUGUGAACUUUCGGACUCCGACCCCUUCUGAGCCGGUCGUUCCUUUUAGGCCAUUGUGGCCUUUCUUCGACGUUUUGGACGGAACAAGAAACCGAGUCUGGGCAUCACCGUUCGCUUUUGUGGGAAGAAACUUCGAGAUCACUCAGAAUCGGACCGUCCAGUGGUUAGAUGUGAACUUUCGAGGACUCCGACCCCUGUCUGAGUCCGGUCGUUCCUUUCUAGCCAUUGUGCCUUUCUUGGCGUUUUGGGACAGAACCAAGAAACCGAGUCUGGGCAUCACCGUUCAGCUUUUGUGGGCAAAAAACUUCAAGAUCACUCAGAAUCGGACCGCCCAGUGGUUAGAUGUGAACUUUCGGGCCUCGACCCCGUUCUGAGUCUGGUCGUUCCUUUCUAGGCCAUUGUGCCUUUCUUCGGCGUUUUGGACGAACAAGAAACCGAUUAUGGGCACCGUUCUUUUUGUGGGCAAGAAACUUGAGAUCACUCAGAAUGGACCGCCAGUGGUUAGAUGUGAACUUUCGGGCCUCCGACCCCGUUCUGAGUCCGGUCGUUUUUCUAGGCCAUUGUGCCUUUCUUUCGCGUUUUGGACGGAACCAAGAAACGAGUAUGGGCAUCACCGUUCGGCUUUUGUGGGCAAGAAACUUCGAGAUCACUCAGAAUGGACGCCCAGUGGUUAGAUGUGAACUUUCGAGGCCUCCGACCCCGUUUUGAGCCGGUCGUUCCUUUUAGGCCAUUGUGACUUUCUUCAGCGUUUUGGGACGGAACCAAGAAACCGAGUCUGGGCAUCACCGUUCGGCUUUUGUGGGCAAGAAACUUCGAUAUCACUCAGAAUGGACCGCCAGUGGUUAGAUGUGAACUUUCGGCCUCCGACCCGUCUGAGUCCGGUCGUUUUUCAAGGCCAUUGUGCCUUUCUUUCGCGUUUUAGGAUGAAACCAAAACCGAGUAUGGGCAUCACCGUUGGCUUUUGGGGCAAAAACUUCGAGAUCACUCAGAAUUGGACCGCCUAGUGGUUAGAUGUGAACUUUCGGGCCUCCGACCCCGUUUGAUCGCGUUCCUUUUUAGGCCAUUGUGCCUUUCUUCAGCUUUUUGGGACGAAACAAGAAACCGAGUAUGGGGCAUCACCGUUCAGCUUUUGUGGGCAAGAAACUUCGAGAUCACUCAGAAUCGGACCGCCUAGUGGUUAGAUGUGAACUUUGAGGCCUCCGACCCCGUUCUGAGUCGGUCGUUCUUUCUAGGCCAUUGUGCCUUUCUUCGGCGUUUUGGGACGAAACCAAGAAACCGAGUAUAGGCAUCACCGUUCGGCUUUUGUGGACAAGAAACUUCGAGAUCACUCAGAAUUCGACCGCCAGUAGUUAGAUGUGAACUUUGAGGCCUUCGACCCCGUUCUGAGUCGAUCGUUCCUUUCUAGGCCAUUGUGCCUUUCUUCGGCGUUUUGGGACGGAACAAAGAAACCGAGUGUGGGCAUCACCGUUCGGCUUUUGUGGGCAAGAAAAUUCGAGAUCACUAGAAUCGGACCGCCCAGUGGUUUGAUGUGAACUUUUGGGCCUCCGACCGUUCUUAGUCAGUCGCUCCUUUCUAGGCCAUGUGCCUUUCUUCGACGUUUUAGGGACGGAACCAAGAAACCGAGUAUGGGCCAUCACCGUUCUCUUUUGUGGGCAAGAAACUUCGAGAUCACUCAGAAUCGGACCGCCCAAUGGUUAGAUAUAAACUUUCAAGGCCUCCGACCCCGUUCUGAAUCCGGUCGUUCCUUUCUUGGCCAUUGUGCCUUUCUUCGACGUUUUGGGACGGAACCAAGAAACCGAGUAUGGGGCAUCACUGUUCGGCUUUUAUGGGUAAGAAACUUCGAGAUCACUCAGAAUCGGACCGCCCAGUGGUUAGAUGUGAACUUUCGAGGCCUCCGACCCCGUUCUAUGUAUUGUCGUUCUUUUCUAGGCCAUUGCGCCUUUCUUUAGGGUUUUGAGGCGGAACGAGAAAGAGUCUAGGCAUCACCGUUCGGCUUUCGCAAAAACUUCGAGAUCACUCAGAAUUGGACCAUCAAUAGCUAGAUGUGAACUUUGGAGGCCUCCGUCCCCGUUCUAAGUCCGGCCGUUCCUUUCUAGGCCAUUGUGCCUUUCUUUAGCGUUUUGGGACGGAACCGAGAAACCGAGUCUGGGUCAUCACCUUUCGGCUCUCUUGGGCAAGAAACUUUGAGAACACUCAGAAUCGGACCACUCAGUAGCUAGAUGUGAACUUUCGAGGCCUCCGACCCCGUUCUAAGUCUGGUCGUUCAUUUCUAGGCAAUUGUGCCUUUCUUUGGUGUUUUGGGACGGAACCGAGAAGCCGAGUCUAAGGCAUCACUGUUCGGCUUUCGUAGGAAAGAAACUUCGAGAUCACCCAGAAUCGGACCACUCAGUAGCUAGAUGUGAACUAUCGAGGCCUCCGACCCUAUUCUAAGUCGGGUCGUUUCUUUCUAGGCCAUUGUGCCUCUCUUCGGCGUUUUGAAUGGAACCAAGAAACCGAGUCUGGGGCAUCACCGUUCGACUUUUGUGGACAUGAAACUUUGAGACCACUCAGAAUCAGACCACCCAGUAGCUAGAGGUUAACUUUCGACGCCUCCGACCCUGUUCUAUAUUCGGUCGUUCCUUUCUAGGCCAUUGUGCCUCUCUUUAGGCGUUUUAGGACGGAACCAAGAAACCGAGUCCGGGGCAUCACCGUUUGGCUUUUGUGGGCAAGAAACUUUGAGACCACUCAUAAUCGGAUCACCAGUAGCUAGACGUGAACUUUCAAGGCCUCUGACCCCGUUCUAAGUUCGGUUGUUCCUUUCUAAACCAUUGUGCCUCUUUUUCGGCGUUUUGGGACGGAACCAAGAACCCGAGUCUGGGCAUCACCGUUUGGCUUUUGUGGGCAAAAACCUUCGAGACCACUCAGAAUCAGACCACCGAGUAGCUAGACAUGAACUUUCGAGGCCUCCGACCCCGUUCUGAGUUCGGUCGUUCAUUUCUAGGACAUUGUGCCCUUCUUUCGACGUUUUUGGACGGAACCAAGAAACUGAGUCUGGGCAUCACCGUUCGGUUUUUGUGGGAAAGAAACUUUGACACCACUCAGAAUCGGACCAUCCAGUAGCUAGACGUGAACUUUCGAGGCCUCCGACCCAGUUCUAAGUCCGGUCGUUCCUUCCUAGGCCAUUGUGCCUUUCUUUCGGCGUUUUGGGACGGAACCAAGAAACUGAGUCUGGGCAUCACCGUUCGGUUUUUGUGGGAAAGAAACUUUGACACCACUCAGAAUCGGACCAUCCAGUAGCUAGACGUGAACUUUCGAGGCCUCCGACCCAGUUCUAAGUCCGGUCGUUCCUUCCUAGGCCAUUGUGCCUUUCUUUCGGCGUUUUGGGACGGAACCAAGAAACCUAGUCUUGGGCAUCACCGUUAAGCUUUUGUGGUAAAGAAACUUCGAGACCACUCAGAAUCGGACCACCCAGUAGCUAGACGUAAACUUUCGAGCACUCCGACCCCAUUCAAAGUCCGGUCGUUCCUUUCUAGGCCAUUGUGCCUCUCUUUCGCCGUUUUGGCAAGGAACCAAGAAACCGAGUUUGGGCAUCACCGUUUGGCUUUUGUGGGCAAGAAACUUCGAGACCACUCAAAAUCGGACAACCUAGUAGCUAGACGUGAACUUUCGAGGCCUUCGACUCCGUUCUAAGUUUGGUCGUUCCUUUCUAAACCAUUGUGCUUCUCUUUCGGUGUUUUGGGACGGAACCAAGAACCGAGUCUGGAACAUCACCGUCUGACUUUUGUGGACAAAAAACAUCGAGACCAAUCAGAAUCAGACCACCGAGUAGCUAGACGUGAACUUUCGAGGCCUCCGAACCCGUUCUAAGUUCGGUCGUUCCUUUCUAGGCCAUUGUGCCACUCUUUCGGCGUUUUUGGACGGAACCAGGAAACCGAGUUUGGGGCAUCACCGUUCGGCUUUUGUGGGCAAGAAACUUUGAGACCACUUAGAAUCGGACCACCCAGUAGCUAGACGUGAACUUUCGAGGCCUCCGACCCCGUUCUAAUUCUGGUCGUUCCUUUCUAGGCCAUUGUGCCUCUCUUUCGCCGUUUUGGCAAGGAACCAAGAAACCGAGUCUGGGCAUCACCUUUUGGCUUUUGUGGGCAAGAAACUUCGAGACCACUCAGAAUCGGACCACCCAGUAGCUAGACGUGAACUUUCAAGGCCUUCGACUCCGUUCUAAGUUUGGUCGUUCCUUUCUAAACCAUUGUGCCUCUCUUUCGGCGUUUUGGGACGGAACCAACAACCGAGUCUGGAACAUCACCGUCCGGCUUUUAUGGGCAAAAAACAUCGAGACCAAUAAGAAUCGGACCACCGAGUAGCUAGACGUGAACUUUCGAUGCCUCCGAACCCGUUCUAAGUUCGGUCGUUCCUUUCUGGGCCAUUGUGCCUCUCUUUCGGCAUUUUUUGACGGAACCAAGAAACCAAGUCUAGGGCAUCACCGUUCGGCUUUUGUGGGCAAGAAACUUCGAGACCACUUAGAAUCAGAUCACCCAGUUUGUAGACGUGAACUUUCGAGGCCUCCGACCCCGUUCUAAGUCCGGUCGUUCCUUUCUAGGCCAUUGUGCCUUUUUUCGGCGUUUUGGGACGGAACCAAGAAACUGAGUCUGGGGCAUCACCGUUCGGCUUUUGUGGGCAAGAAACGUGGAGACCACUCAGAAUUGGACCACCCAGUAACUAGACGUGAACUUUCGAGGCCGCCGACCCCGUUCUAAGUCCGGUCGUUCCUUUCUAGGCCAUUGUGCCUUACUUUCGGCGUUUUGGGACGGAACCAAGAAACCGAGUUUGGGGCAUCACCGUUCGGCUUUUGUGGGUAAGAAACUUCGAGACCACUCAGAAUUGGACCACCUAGUAGCCAGACGUGAACUUUAGAGGCCUCCGACCCCGUUCUAAGUUCGAUCGUUCCUUUCUAGGCCAUUGUGCCUUUCUUUCGGCGUUUUGGGACGGAACCAAGAAACCGAGUCUGGGGCAUCACCGUUCGGCUUUUGUGGGCAAGAAACUUCGAGACCACUCAGAAUCGGACCACCCAGUAGCCAGACGUGAACUUUCGAGGCCUCCGACCCUGUUCUAAGUCUGGUCGUUCCUUUCUAGGCCAUUGUGCCUUUCUUUUGCCGUUUUGGGACGGAACCAAGAAACCAAAGUCUGGGGCAUCGCCGUUCGGCUUUUGUGGGUAAGAAACUUCAAGACCACUCAGAAUCGGACCACCCAGUAGGCAGACGUGAACUUUCGAGGCCUCCGACCCCGUUCUAAGUCAGGUCAGUCGUUCCUUUCUAGGCCAUUGUGUCUUUCUUUCGGCGUUUUGGGACGGAACCAAGAAACCGAGUCUGGGGCAUCACCGUUAGGCUUUUGUGUGCAAGCAACUUCGAGAACACUCAGAAUCGGACCACCCAGUAGGUAGACGUGAUCUUUCGAGGCCUCCGACCCCGUUCUAAGUCUGGUCGUUCCUUUCUAGGCCAUUGUGCCUUUAUUUUGGCGUUUAUGACGGAACCAAGAAACCGAGUCUGGGGCAUCUCCGUUCGGCUUUUGUGGGUAGGAAACUUUGAGACCACUUGGAAUCGGACCACCCAGUAGCUAGACGUGAACUUUGAGGCCACCAACCCCGUUCUAAGUCCGGUCGUUCCUUUCUAGGGUAUUGUGCCUUUCUUUCGGCGUUUUGGGACGGAACCAAGAAACCGUGUCUGGGGCAUCACCGUUCGGCUUUUGUGGGCAAGAAACUUUGAGACCACCCAGUAGCUAGACGUGAAGUUUCAAGGCCUCCGACCCCGUUCUAAGUCCGGUCAUUCCUUUCUAGGCCACUGUGCCUUUCUUUCGCCGUUUUGGGACGGAACCAAGAAACCGAGUCUAGGGCAUCACCGUUCAGCUUUUGUGGGCAAGAAACUUCGAGACCACUCAGAAUCGGACCACCUAGUAGCUAGACGUGAACUUUCGAUGUCGCCGACCCCGUUCUAAGACUGGUCGUUCCUUUCUAGGCCACUGUGCCUUUCUUUCGGCGUUUUGGGACGGAACCAAGAAACCGAGUCUGGGGCAUCAUCGUUCGGCUUUUGUGGGCAAGAAACUUCGAGACCACUCAGAAUCGGACCACCCAGUAGCUAGACGUGAACUUUCGAGGCCUCCGACCCCGUUCUUAAGUCUAGAUAAAACAUCCAAGUAUAACCAUUAUACAGGAUUUUAACCUAUGAUGUCUAGGUGAUAAACCAUUUUUAUUACCACACACCUCUCACGAAUGCUCAUAAAACUAGGUUAACUAGGCUCAAGAACUGAUUACGAUCUCCAGGUAGGAGGUGUUCUGUAAACCGUCAACUUAAGAACCUCCAACCUUAGUAAUCUUAUCUGACUUGUUGACAAGAUUGAACCAAGUGAGCCUUUUCUAACCUUUUUUACAAGAUAUCGACCUAUUUCUAUGAAAAAUGGAAGAUAUGUUUAACCUAAGUGAGCAUGCAUUUAAUCUUUGUUAUUGAUUUUAGAAGUCUAAUUUAUUUUAUAACACUUAUAAAAUUUUUUAGACUUAAUCAAUCAUUUUAUCAAUAUAUAAACUUAUAAAAACAAUCAAUUAAUAUGGAUUUUAAUUUAUUUAACUUUAAUUAAAUCAUAUUUAAUUAAAUUAAAUCAAACAAUAAUUAAUUAAUUUGAUUAAAUCAUAUUUAAUCAAGAAUAACUUAAUUAAAUAAAUACUUAAUUAAUCAUAUUAAUUAAUUUCCAUAUUAAUCAAUUAACAUGCAUACAAUACAAUAUAACCUUUAUAUGAUACAUUUUAAUGCAUGAACAUGUUAACCUAUGGUGGGAUUUUAAAUCUAUAUGACAUUCAAAAUGCACAUACAAAUUUAAAGUAAUUUAAUCAUACAUCACAUGCAUAAAUAAAAAAAACACCCUAAAAUGGACUGAUUUUUGGCUCCUAAAUUAAGCUAAGUACUAAAUUAUUACAUAAUUACUUUGGUGUAGUACAGAACCACUCCCAAAAACUUCGAACCGGCUGAAAAACAAACUGAAACCGCUUGAAUCGGCCCAAAAACCAAAUUUAUUGCUUGAACCGGCCCAGGCGCACACCGUCGGGCGCGAACGCGCGGCGCGCGCGGCACAUGCGGGCGCGUGCGGACGCGGAGGGCGCGCGGCGCGUGCGCGGUCGCGAAGGGUCAAGGCGGGUCUGUGACCUUCUUUUCUUCAUUUUUUUCAAUUCUCUCACCCGGUUGAACCAGUUACAGCCUAACUUCAACUCUAGUGACCUUUUUUAUUUUAAAUAAUAAUUACAAACACUUUGCAACAAUAAAAAUUAGCCAUUAACAAGGCUAAUUACAAUAAUUAGAACAAAAACACUUAAUCUAGAGCCAAAAUUUAUCUAAUAAAUAUGAACCCACCACAUGCAAUUGGGUAAAAAUGAAGCAUGCCCUGAUACCAAAUGAUAGAACUAAGUCAUGCACAGCGGAAAAAGAAUCGAAUUUCUACCCUAAUUGCCACAAUUAACAUGUAACCAUAAACUAAUCAAAUUAGGUUUUAAGAAAUAUUACCUUUGAAGCUUUAAAGGUUGAUAUCUUCUUACCAAUUCUAACCGAGACCACCACUAGUACUCAACUGCUAUCCUCUAGACAAAGAACCGGGUUGUGGACCCAAUUUUGGUGUAGAAGUAAUGGAGAUAAAAUGGUAUUGGAAGGUUUUUUUUUUUUGUUUGAGAUGAUGAAAUGAUAAAAGAGGCAAAAGUUUUUUCAACAUUUACACCUCUAUUUAUAACCUAAUUACAUGCAAAAAUGCAUGCAAUUCAUUUGCAAAAUCUCAACACCUAAUGUUCAAUACAAUUAGUGGAACUUAGUGGCUAGGUGUCUAUAUCUCAUAUAGCCACAUAUCCCACUAAGAGUUAGUGGAUUAUCCAACAAAAUGUUGGAUUUUCCCACUAACUUAGUAAAAUGGUCAUUAGAUAUUUUUAGUCAAAAGUCAAACUAUGACUUUUCUUAGUCAAAAGUCAAUAUUUUGACUUUUUACUAUUUUGUCCGUCUUUACUAAUUCCAACCUCCCGAGCAUGAAUCCGCAUUCAUUUUUCCAAAAUUCAAAUCACAUUUGAAUAUAAGGUCGGUCAAAGUUUGACUUUUCAAAGUCAAAACUCAACAUUUUGACUUUUUACUAUUUUUUGACCAAUUCCAUCAAUUCCGAGCUUCUUAGUAUGAAUCCGCAUUCAUACUUAUAGUAUGUAAAACAUAAAGCUAUAUUUCUAAUUAGAAGACCGACGACUAUAUCACUAUAUUUGUCGGUUUCCCUUUCUUCUCCCAAUUCGAACAAUUCGACUUAUUUCAUCACAUUGUUCUAAGUUUAAUCCAUAUGAGCUAGCAGAUGAACCUAAUGGACCUAUAGAUCAUGGGCUCCAACGAUUCAAGAUUAACUAGCUAAACUCUUUUAAACCGAGUUAAUCAACAUUCGUUAACUAACGGGUCAUUCCACUAAAGUCCCGUAGUUGCACUCCCCUCACUAUAGAUAUAUUUGUGUCCAUUUGAUAAAAGCAUAAUCAGUAAGUUAAUCCUUCACAGGUUGCUCGUAACCUUGGCUGGGUCAAAAUACCGUUUUACCCCCAAGAUUACAUCUUGCUCCUUAAGUCCUACUAGGAUGCCCCCACUUUCAUGUCUCUACAUGAACGAUUAGGAUCACUUCGUUUGUACUACAAAGUGGGCCGCAUCCAUAGUUUCUCUAAAUACGCGCCCAACCUAUAUUUCAUAUAUUAUAGACUAUUUAGGCUAUAUACUCGAACUUGAUCCACGUUUAUGUUUACACAUAAAGUUCAAGUUUAUUCAAAAAUAGCCUUGGAACAUGAUUUAUUGGAUUUAAGAUUAUAAUAUUUAAUUUCUCAAUAACAACUUUAUUAAACAGAAUAUGAUUUACAAACUACGGGUUUUAGGACAAAAAAUUCCAACAGGUCGUUCCUUUCUAGGCCACUGUGCCUUUCUUUCGGCGUUUUAUGACGGAACCAAGAAACCGAGUCUAGGGCAUCACCGUUCGGCUUUUGUGGGCAAGAAACUUCGAGACCACUGAGAAUCGGACCACCCAGUAGCUAGACGUGAACUUUCGAGGCCGCCGACCCCGUUCUAAGUCCGGUCGUUCCUUUCUAGGCCACUAUGCCUUUCUUUCGGCGUUUUGGGACGGAACCAAGAAACCGAGUCUGGGGCAUCACCGUUCGGCUUUUGUGGGCAAGAAACUUCGAGACCACUCAGAAUCGGACCACCCAGUAGCUAGCCGUGAACUUUCAAGACCACCGACCCCGUUCUAAGUCCGGUCGUUCCUUUCCCUAGGCCAUUGUGCCUUUCUUUCGACGUGUUGGGACGGAACCAAGAAACCGAGUCUGCGGCAUCACCAUUUGGCUUUUGUGGGCAAGAAACUUCGAGACCACUCAGAAUCGGACCACCCAGUAGCUAGACGUGAAUUUUCGAGGCCGCCGACCCCGUUCUAAGUCCCGUCGUUCCUUUCUAGGCCACCUUGCCUUUCUUUCGGCGUUUUGGGACGAACCAAGAAAUCGAGUCUGGGCAUCACCGUUCGGCUUUUGUGGGCAAGAAACUUCGAGACCACUCAGAAUCGGACCACCCAGUAGCUAGACGUGAACUUUUGAGGCCACCAACCCCGUUCUAAGUCCGGUCGUUCCUUUCUCUAGGCCAUUGUGCCUUUCUUUCGGCGUGUUGGGACGGAACCAAGAAACCGAGUCUGCGGCAUCACCGUUUGGCUUUUGUGGGCAAGAAACUUCGAGAACAUUCAGAAUCGAACCACGCAGUAGCUAGACGUGAAUUUUCGAGGCCGUCGACCCCGUUCUAAGUCCCGUCAUUCCUUUCUAUGCCACCGUGCCUUUCUUUCGGCGUUUUGGAACGAAACCAAGAAACCGAGUCUGGGGCAUCACCUUCGGCUUUUGUGGGCAAGAAACUUCGAGACCGCCCAGAAUCGGACCAUCCAGUAGCCAGACGUGAACUUUCGAGGACUCCGACCCCGUUCUAAGUCCGGUCGUUCCUUUUUAGGCCAUUGUGCCUUUCUUUCGGCGUUUUAGGACGAAACAAAGAAACCGAGUCUGGGCAUCACCGUUCGGCUUUUGUGGGCAAGAAACUUCGAGACCACUCAGAAUCGAACCACCCAGUAGCCAGACGUGAACUUUCGAGGCCUCCGACCCCGUUCUAAGUCCGGUCGUUCCUUUCUAGGCCAUUGUGCCUUUCUUUCGGCGUUUUAGGACGGAACCAAGAAACCGAGUCUAGAUAUCACCGUUCGGCUUUUGUGGGCAAGAAACUUCGAGACCGCCCAGAAUCGGACCACCGAGUAGCCAGACGUGAACUUUCGAGGCCUCCGACCCCGUUCUCAGUCCGAUCGUUCCUUUCUAGGCCAUUGCGCCUUUCUUUCAGCUUUGGACGGAACCAAGAAACCGAGUCUGGGGCAUCACCGUUCGGCUUUUGUGGGCAAGAAACUUCGAGACCACUCAGAAUCGGACCACCCAGUAGCCAGAUGUGAACUUUCGAGAUCUCCGACCCCGUUCUAAGUCUCGUCGUUCAAUUCUUGGCCAUUGUGCCUUUCUUUUGGCGUUUUGGGACGGAACCAAGAAACCGAGUCUGGGGAAUCACCGUUCGGCUUUUGUGGGCAAGAAACUUCGAGACCACUCAGAAUCGGACCACCCAGUAGCUAGACGUGAACUUUCGAGGCCUCCGACCCCGUUCUACGUCAGGUCGUUCCUUUCUAGGCCAAUGUGCCUUUCUUUCGGCGUUUUGGAACGGAACCAAGAAAUCGAGACUAGGGCAUCACCAUUCGGCUUUUGUGUGCAAGAAACUUCGAGACCACUCAGAAUCGGACCACCCUGUAGCUAGAUGUGAACUUUCGAGGCCUCCUACCCGUUCUAAGUUUGGUCGUUCCUUCCUAGGCCUUUGUGCCUUUCUUUCGGCGUUUUGGGACGGAACCAAGAAACCGAGUCUGGGGCAUCACCGUUCGGCUUUUGUGGGCAAGAAACUUCGAGACCACUCAGAAUCGGACCACCCAGUAGCUAGACUGAACUUUCGAGGCCUUCGACCCCGUUCUAAGUCCGGUCGUUCCUUUCUAGGCCAUUGUGCCUUUCUUUCAGCGUUUUGGGACGGAACCAAGAAACCGAGUCUAGGGCAUCACCCUUCGACUUUUGUGGGCAAGAAACUUCGAGACCACUAAGAAUCGGUCCACCAAGUAGCUAGACGUGAACUUUCGAGGCCUCCGACCCCGUUCUAAGUUCGGUCGUUCCUUUAUAGGCCAUUGUGCCUUUCUUUCGACGUUUUGGGACGGAACCAAGAAACCGAGUCUAGGGCAUCACUGUUCGGCUUUUGUGGGCAAGAAACUUCGAGACCACUCAGAAUCAGACCACCCAGUAGCCAGACGUGAACUUUCGAGGCCUCCAACCCCGUUCUAAGUCCGGUCGUUCCUUUCUAGGCCAUUGUGCCUUUCUUUCGGAGUUUUGGGAUGGAACCAAGAAACCUAGUCUCGGCAUCACCGUUCGGCUUUUGUGGGCAAGAAACUUCGAGACCACUAAGAAUCGGACCACCCAGUAGCUAGACGUGAACUUUCGAGGCCUCCGACCCCGUUUUCAGUCCGGUCGUUCCUUUCUAGGCCAUUGGCCUUUCUUUCGCGUUUUGGGACGGAACCAAGAAACCGAGUCUGGGGCAUCAUCGUUUGGCUUUUAUGGGCAAGAAACUUCGAGACCACCCAGUCGCUAGACGUGAAAUUUCGAGGCCUCCGACCCCGUUCUAAGUCCGAUCGUUCCUUUCUAGGCCAUUGUGCCUUUCUUUCGGCAUUUUGGGACGAAACCAAUAAACCGAGUCUGGGCAUAACCGUUCGGCUUUUGUGGGCAAGAAACUUCGAGACCACUCAGAAUCGGACCACCUAGUAGCCAGACGUGAACUUUCGAGGCCUCCGACCCCGUUCUAAGUCGGUCGUUCCUGUGUAGGCCAUUGUGCCUUCUUUCGGCGUUUUGGGACGGAACCAAGAAACCGAGUCUGGGCAUCACCGUUUGGCUUUUGUGGGCAAGAAACUUCGAGACCACUCAGAAUCGGACCACCCAGUAGCCAGACGUGAACUUUCGAGGCCUCCGACUUCGUUCUAAGUCUGGUUGUUCCUUUCUAGGCCAUUGUGCCUUUCUUUCGGCAUUUUGGGACGGAACCAAGAAACCGAGUCUGGGGCAUCACUGUUCGGCUUUUGUGGGCGAGAAACUUCGAGACCACUCAGAAUCGGACCACCAUGUAGCAAGACGACAACAUUCAAGGCCUCCGACCCCGUUUUAAGUCCGAUUGUUCCUUUCUUGGACAUUGUGCCUUUCUUUCGGCGUUUUGGGACGGAACCAAGAAACCGUCAGGCAUCACCGUUCGGCUUUUUGGGCAAGAAACUUCGAGACCGCUUAGAAUCGGACCACCCAGUAGCCAGACGUGAACUUUCGAGGCCUCGACCACGUUCUAAGUACGGUCGUUCCUUUCUAGGCCAUUGUGCCUUUCUUUUGGCGUUUUAGGACGGAACCAAGAAACCGAGUAUGGGGCAUCACCGUUCGGUUUUUGUGGGCAAGAAACUUUGAGACCACUCAGAAUCGGACUACCAUGUAGCCAGACGAGAACUUUCGAGGCCCCCGACCCCGUUCUAAUUCCGGUCGUUUCUUUCUAGGACAUUGUGCCUUUCUUUCGGCGUUCUGGGACGGAACCUAGAAACCGAGUUUGGGCAUCACCGUUCAGCUUUUGUGGGCAAGAAACUUCGAGACCACUCAGAGUUGGACCACUCAGUAGCCAGACGUCAACUUUCGAGGCCUCCGACCCCGUUCUAAGUCCGGUGGUUCCUUUCCAGCCAUUGAGCCGCUCUUUCGGCGUUUUGGGACGGAACCAAGAAACCGAGUCUGGGCAUCAUCGUUCGGCUUUUGUGGGCAAAACUUCGAGACCACUCAGAAUCGACCACCAGUAGCUAGACGUGAACUUUCGAGGCCUCCGACCCCGUUCUACGUCAGGUCGUUCCUUUCUAGGCCAAUGUGCCUUUCUUUCGGCGUUUUGGAACGAAACCAAAAUCGAGACUAGGCAUCACCAUUCGGCUUUUGUGUGCAAGAAACUUCGAGACCACUCAGAACGGACCACCCUGUAGCUAGAUGUGAACUUUGAGGCCUCCUACCCGUUCUAAGUUUGGUCGUUCCUUCCUAGCCCUUUGUGCCUUUCUUUCGGCGUUUUGGACGGAACCAAGAAACGAGUCUGGCAUCACCGUUCGGCUUUUGGGGCAAAAACUUCGAGACCAUCAGAAUCGGACCACCAGUAGCUAGACUGAACUUUCGAGCCUUCGACCCCGUUCUAAGUCCGGUCGUUCCUUUCUAGGCCAUUGUGCCUUUUCUUCAGCGUUUGGGACGGAACCAAGAAACCGAGUCUAGGGCAUCACCUUCGACUUUUGUGGGCAAGAAACUUCGAGACCACUAAGAAUCGGUCCACCAAGUAGCUAGACGUGAACUUUCGAGGCCUCCGACCCCGUUCUAAGUUCGGUCGUUCCUUUAUAGGCCAUUGUGCCUUUCUUUCGACGUUUUGGGACGGAACCAAGAAACCGAGUCUAGGGCAUCACUGUUCGGCUUUUGUGGGCAAGAAACUUCGAGACCACUCAGAAUCGGACCACCCAGUAGCCAGACGUGAACUUUCGAGGCCUCCGACCCCGUUCUAAGUCCGGUCGUUCCUUUCUAGGCCAUUGUGCCUUUCUUUCGGAGUUUUGGGAUGGAACCAAGAAACCUAGUCUCGGCAUCACCGUUCGGCUUUUGUGGGCAAGAAACUUCGAGACCACUAAGAAUCGGACCACCCAGUAGCUAGACGUGAACUUUCGAGGCCUCCGACCCCGUUUUCAGUCCGGUCGUUCCUUUCUAGGCCAUUGUGCCUUUCUUUCGGCGUUUUGGGACGGAACCAAGAAACCGAGUCUGGGGCAUCAUCGUUUGGCUUUUAUGGGCAAGAAACUUCGAGACCACCCAGUAGCUAGACGUGAACUUUCGAGGCCUCCGACCCCGUUCUAAGUCCGGUCGUUCCUUUCUAGGCCAUUGUGCCUUUCUUUCGGCAUUUUGGGACGAAACCAAUAAACCGAGUCUGGGCAUAACCGUUCGGCUUUUGUGGGCAAGAAACUUCGAGACCACUCAGAAUCGGACCACCUAGUAGCCAGACGUGAACUUUCGAGGCCUCCGACCCCGUUCUAAGUCCGGUCGUUCCUGUGUAGGCCAUUGUGCCUUUCUUUCGGCGUUUUGGGACGGAACCAAGAAACCGAGUCUGGGCAUCACCGUUUGGCUUUUGUGGGCAAGAAACUUCGAGACCACUCAGAAUCGGACCACCCAGUAGCCAGACGUGAACUUUCGAGGCCUCCGACUUCGUUCUAAGUCUGGUCGUUCCUUUCUAGGCCAUUGUGCCUUUCUUUCGGCAUUUUGGGACGGAACCAAGAAACCGAGUCUGGGGCAUCACUGUUCGGCUUUUGUGGGCGAGAAACUUCGAGACCACUCAGAAUCGGACCACCAUGUAGCAAGACGACAACAUUCAAGGCCUCCGACCCCGUUUUAAGUCCGAUUGUUCCUUUCUUGGACAUUGUGCCUUUCUUUCGGCGUUUUGGGACGGAACCAAGAAACCGAGUCUAGGGCAUCACCGUUCGGCUUUUGUGGGCAAGAAACUUCGAGACCGCUUAGAAUCGGACCACCCAGUAGCCAGACGUGAACUUUCGAGGCCUCGACCACGUUCUAAGUACGGUCGUUCCUUUCUAGGCCAUUGUGCCUUUCUUUUGGCGUUUUAGGACGGAACCAAGAAACCGAGUAUGGGCAUCACCGUUCGGUUUUUGUGGCAAGAAACUUUGAGACCACUCAGAAUCGGACUACCAUGUAGCCAGACGAGAACUUUCGAGGCCCCCGACCCCGUUCUAAUUCCGGUCGUUUCUUUCUAGGACAUUGUGCCUUUCUUUCGGCGUUCUGGGACGGAACCUAGAAACCGAGUUUGGGGCAUCACCGUUCAGCUUUUGUGGGCAAGAAACUUCGAGACCACUCAGAGUUGGACCACUCAGUAGCCAGACGUCAACUUUCGAGGCCUCCGACCCCGUUCUAAGUCCGGUGGUUCCUUUCCAGGCCAUUGAGCCGCUCUUUCGGCGUUUUGGGACGGAACCAAGAAACCGAGUCUGGGGCAUCAUCGUUCGGCUUUUGUGGGCAAGAAACUUCGAGACCACUCAGAAUCGGACCACCCAGUAGCUAGACGUGAACUUUCGAGGCCUCCGAUCUCGUUUUAUGUCUGGUCGUUCCUUUCUAGGCCCUUGUGCCUUUCUUUCAACGUUUUGGGACAGAACCAAGAAACCGAGUCUGGGGCAUCACCGUUCGACUUUUGUGGGCAAGAAACUUCAAGACCACCCAGUGGCUAGACGUGAACUUUCGAGGCCUCCGACCCCGUUCUAAGUCUGGUCGUUCGUUUCUAGGCCAUUGUGUCUUUCUUUCGACGUUUUGGGACGGAACCAAGAAACCGAGUCUAGGGCAUCACCGUUCGGCUUUUGUGGGCAAGAAACUUCGAGACCACCCAGUAGCCAGACGUGAACUUUCGAGGCCUCCGACCCCGUUCUAAGUCCGGUCGUUCCUUAUUAGGCCAUUGUGCCUUUCUUUCGGCGUUUUGGGAUGGAACAUAGAAACCGAGUCUGGGGCAUCACCGUUCGGCUUUUGUGGGCAAAAAACUUUGAGACCACUCAGAAUCGGACCACCAUGUAGCCAGACGAAAACUUUCGAGGCCUCCGACCCCGUUCUAAGUCCGGUCGUUCCUUUCUAGGACAUUGUGCCUUUCUUUCGGCGUUCUGGGACGGAACCAAGAAACCGAGUCUAGGGCAUCACCGUUUGACUUUUGUGGGCAAGAAACUUCGAGACCGCUCAGAAUCGGACCACCCAGUAGCUAGACGUGAACUUUCGAGGCCUCUGACCCCGUUCUAAGUCCGAUCGUUCCUUUCUAGGCCAUUGUGCCUUUCUUUCGGCAUUUUGGGACGAAACCAAGAAACCGAGUCUGACGCAUCACUGUUCGGCUUUUGUGGGCAAGAAACUUCGAGACCGCUCAGAAUCGGACCACCAUGUAGCAAGACGACAACAUUCAAGGCCUCCGACCCCGUUUUAAGUCCGGUCGUUCCUUUCUUGGACAUUGUGCCUUUCUUUCGGCGUUUUGGGACGGAACCAAGAAACCGAGUCUGAGGCAUCACCGUUCGGCUUUUGUGGGCAAGAAACUUUGAGACCGCUCAGAAUCGAACACCCAGUAGCUAGACGUGAACUUUCGGGGCCUCUGACCCCUUUCUAAGUCCGGCCGUUCAUUUCUAGGGCAUUGUGCCUUUCUUUCGACGUUUUGGACUGAGCCAAAAAACCGAGUUUGGGGCAUCAACGUUCGGCUUUUGUGGGCGAGAAACUUUGAGGCCACUCAGAAUCGGACCACCUAGUAGCUAGACGUGAACUUUCGAGGCCUCCGACCCCGUUCUUAAUCUGGCCUUUCCUUUCUAGGCCAUUGUUCCUUUUUUUCGGCGUUUGGGAUGGAACCAAGAAACCGAGUCUGGGGCAUCAUCGUUCGGCUUUUAUGGGCAAGAAACUUCGAGACCACUCUGAAUCGGUCCACCUAGUAGCUAGACAAGAACUUUCGACGCCUCCGACCCCGUUCUAAGUCCAUUCCUUUCUAGGCCAUUGUACCUUUCUUUCGGCGUUUUGGGACGGAAACAAUAUACCGAGUCUAGGGCAUCACCAGUUGGCUUUUGUAGGCAAGAAACUUUGAGACCACUCAGAAUCGGACCACCCAGUAGCUAGACGUGAACUUUCGGGGCCUCCGACCCCGUUCUGAGUUUGGUCGUUCCUUUCUAGGUCAUUGUGCCUUUCUUUCGGCGUUUUGGGACGGAACCAAGACACCAAGUCUGGGGCAUCACCGCUCGGCUUUUGUGGGCAAGAAACUUCGAGACCACUCAGAAUCGGACCACCCAGUAGCUAGACGUGAACUUUCGGGGCCUCUGACCCCUUUCUAAGUCCGGUCGUUCCUUUCUAGGGCAUUGUGCCUUUCUUUCGGCGUUUUGGGACGGAACAAAGAAACCGAGUCUGGGGCAUCACCGUUCGGCUUUUGUGGGUGAGAAACUUUGAGACCACUCAGAAUCAGACCACCCAGUAUCUAGACGUGAACUUUCGAGGCCUUCGACCCCGUUCUAAGUCUGACCGUUCCUUUCUAGGCCAUUGUGUCUUUCUUUCGACGUUUUGGGACGGAACCAAGAAACCGAGUCUGAGGUAUCAAUGUUCAGCUUUUGUGGGCGAGAAACUUCAAGAGCACUCAGAAUCGGACCACCUAGUAGCUAGCCGUGAACUUUCGAGGCCUCCGAGCCUGUUCUAAGUCCGGUCGUUCCUUUCUACGCCAUUGUGCCUUUCUUUCGGCGUUUUCGGACGGAACCAAGAAACCGAGUCCGGGGCAUCACCGUUCGACUUCUGUGGGUAAGAAACUUCGAGACCACUCAGAAUCGGACCACCCGGUAGCUAGACGUGAACUUUCGAGUCCUAAAGCUCGUAGUUUGUAAAUUAUAUUAUGUUCAAUAAAGUUGUUAUUGAGAAAUUAAAUAUAUAAUCUUAAAUCCAAUAAAUCAAGUUCAAGGCUAUUUUUGAAUAAACUUGAAGUUUAUGUGUAAACAUAAACGUGGAUCAAGUUCGAGUAUUUACCCUAAAUAGUCUAUAAUAUAUGAAAUAAAGGUUGGGCACCUUAUAUAGAGAAACUAUGGAUGCGGCCCACUUUGUAGUACAAACGAGGUGAUCCUAAUCGUUCAUGUAGAGACAUGAAAGUGGAGGCAUCCUAUGUAAAAUGUUUACAUAAGACUGAACCAUGAAUUAGUCUUUUUUAUGUUAUAACACCGUUUACUGUUUAAAACUGACUAUCUCAAUUAUUGAUGACCUAGGUAACUUAGUCUUAAUCCUGAGUUAACUAUGAACUCCAGUUCACACGAGAUUAUCCUUAGAUCUGCAUAGGUGAGGGCAACUCAUCAUCGUUAGCCCAAUAAGCCUCCCAUUUCAGGGGUAAGAUCGGGUGGAUAGCUGGGAACAUAGGGUACAAGAUGGAAUUCACUCCUACCCGCUUUAGGGUUAGUAGAUAGGUUGUUCUCUUGCACUGAAUCCAAGUCUUGAACAAGGGGCCCCACCCUCUCAUUGGCCCGAGAGGAUUAAGUUUAUAGGUUGAACCUUACACCAAUUGUUCAAUAGUGGAUUAGUGGGACUUAAGAAGCAAGAUGUAAUCUUGGGGGUAAAACGGUAUUUUGACCCAGCCAAGGUUAUGAGCAACCUGUGAAGGAUUAACUUACUGAUUAUGGUUUUAUCAAAUGGACACAAAUAUAUCUAUAGUGAGGGGAGUGCAACUACGGGACUUUAAUGGAAUGACCCGUUAGUUAACGAAUGUUGAUUAACUCAGUUUAAAAGAGUUUAGCUAGUUAAUCUUGAAUCGUUGGAGCCCAUGAUCUAUAGGUCCAUUAGGUUCCUCUGCUAGCUCAUAUGGAUUAAACUUAGAAUAGUGUGAUGAAAUAAGUCGAAUUUUCGAAUUGGGAGAAGAAAGGGAAACCGACAAAUAUAGUGAUAUAGUCGUCGGUCUUCUAAUUAGAAAUAGAGGUUUAUGUUUUACAUACUAUAAGUAUGAAUGCGGCGGAUUCAUACUAAGAAGCUCGGAAUUGAUGGAAUUGGACAAAAAUAGUAAAAAGUCAAAAUGUUGACUUUUGAACUUGAAAAGUCAAACUUUGACCGGCCUUAUAUUCAAAUGUGAUUUGAAUUUUGGAAAAAUGAAUGCGGAUUCAUGCUCGGGAGGUUGGAAUUAGUCAAGAUGGACAAAAUGGUAAAAAGUCAAAAUAUUGACUUUUGACUAAGAAAAGUCAAAGUUUGACUUUUGACUAGAAAUAUCUAAUGACCAUUUUACCCUUGGACUAAGUUAGUGGGAAAAUCCAACAUUUUGUUGGAUAAUCCCACUAACUCUUAGUGGGAUAUGUGGCUAUAUGAGAUAUAGACACCUAGCCCACUAAGUUCCACUAAUUGUUAGUGGAACAUUAGGUGUUGAGAUUUGGCAAAUGAAUUGCAUGCAUUUUUGCAUGUAAUUAGGUUAUAAAUAGAGGUGUUUUCAAAUGUUGAAAAGACUUUUGCCUCUUUUAUCAUUUUCAUCAUCUCAACAAAAGAAAAAAAAACCUUCCAAUCCCAUUUUAUCUCCAUUUCUUUCUACACCAAAAUUGGGUCCCACAACCCGAUUCUUUGUCUAGAGGAUAGCAGUUGAGUACUAGUGGUGGUCUCGGUUAGAAUUGGUAAGAAGAUGUCAAACCUUUUGAAAGCUUCAAAGGUAAUAUUUCUUAAAACCCUAAUUUGAUUAGUUUAUGGUUACAUGUUAAUUGUCAAUUAGGGUAGAUAUUCGAUUCUUUUUCCGCUGUGCAUGACUUAGUUCUUUCAUGUGGUAUCAGAGCAUGCUUCAUUUUUACCCAAUUGCAUGUGGUGGGUUCAUAUUCAUAUUUAUUAGAUAAAUUUUGGUUUGAACUAAAAUGGAUAUAUUAUGAUUUUGGCUCUAGAUUAAGUGUUUUUGUUCUAUUAUUGUAAUUAGCCUUGUUAAUGGCUUAUUUUUAUUGUUGCAAAGUGUUUGUAAUUUUUUUAAAAUAAAAAAAAGUCAUUAGAGUUGAAGUUAGGCUGUAACUGGUUCAACCGGGUGAGAGAAUUGAAAAAAAUGAAGAAAAGAAGGUCACAGACCCGAAAACCCGGCCUUGACCCGCUUCGCGACCCGCCUGCGCCCGACCCGUGUGCGCCUGGGCCUGUUUAGUUAAUUGGGCCGGUUCAAGCCAAUAAAUUUGGUUUUUGGGCCGGUUCAAGCUGUUUCGGUUGGUUUUUCAGUCGGUUCGAAGUUUUUGGGAGUGGUUCUGUACUACACCAAAUUAAUUAUGUAAUAAUUUAGUACUUAGCUUAAUUUAGGAGCCAAAAAUUAGUCCAUUUUAGGGUGUUUUUUUUAUUUAUGCAUGUGAUGUAUGAUUAAAUUACUUUAAAUUUGUAUGUGCAUUUUGAAUGUCAUAUAGAUUUAAAAUCCCACCAUAGGUUAACAUGUUCAUGCAUUAAAAUGUAUGAUAUAAAGGUUAUAUUGUAUUGUAUGCAUGUUAAUUGAUUAAUAUGGAAAUUAAUUAAUAUGAUUAAUUAAUUAAGUUAUUCUUGAUUAAAUAUGAUUUAAUCAAAUUAAUUAAUUAUUGUUUGAUUUAAUUUAAUUAAAUUAAAAAUUAAAUUGAUUUAAUUAAAUUAAAUAAUUAAUUAAAUUAAAAAUUAAAUAUGAUUUAAUUAAAGUUAAAUAAAUUAAAAUCCAUAUUAAUUGAUUGUUUUUAUAAGGUUAUAUAUUGAUAAAAUGAUUGAUUAAGUCUAAAAGUUUUUAUAAGUGUUAUAAAAUAAAUUAGACUUUUAAAAUCAAUAACAAAGAUUAAAUGCAUGCUCACUUAGGUUAAACAUAUCUUCCAUUUUUCAUAGAAAUAGGUCGAUAUCUUGUAAAACUGGUUACAAAAGGCUCACCUGGUUCAAUCUUGUCAACAAGUCAGAUAAGAUGACUAAGGCUGGAGGUUCUUAAGUUGACGGUUUACGGAACACCUCCUACCUGGAGAUCGUAAUCAGUUCUUGAGCCUAGUUAACCUAGUUUUAUGAGCAUUCGUGAGAGGUGUGAGGUAAUAAAAAUGGUUUAUCACCUAGACAUCAUAGGUUAAAAUCCUGUAUAAUGGUUAUACUUGGAUGUUUUAUCUAGACUUAAAGAUUUGUUUAAGUUAGCCUAAAUAUAAAUCUUGAAGCUUGGAUUACCCUAUUUUUUUCUUCUUCUUUAAAAUAGAACACUUCAACUAGAGAAAAAUAAUGUAUUUUAGCUCUAGUGUCCCUAAGAGUUCACACCGUGAGGUCCAUGCAGGGCUUUGUGCCGUGCAUAGGAGCGGACUCCCUUCGGAGAGUGUUUGCAUGGAUCAAAAUCAAGGUGAAUAGGGGAAGUAGUUCAUAGUAAGUGGGUGAGGGAUUUGUGGCAGCACAUCCCAUGGUCUCUUCCAUUAGGUCGCACCGUGAGAUUUCUAUAAUAUGCCUACUUGUCUGCCCUGGAGCGACGUUCCCUUCGGAGGGUUGUAUUAUAGGAUUCGGAACACCGCGAACUCCAAAUCUGGAUAGGUUUUCUUAGAUUAGUUUUCAUAAAUGAUUCUAAUCUAUGAAAUCUGAAAAUGGUGGGUAACACUUACAAGAAUUACUAAGUUGUUAGUAUAUUCUUGACUAAAGUAGCGAUAACUAAGUGCUAUAAAGAAUAAGCAGUUAUUCUAGAGAUAGCAUCUAGUCAAGAUUGUCUUGGUUCAAA